UCCGGAGCGUCGGUCUUCUUGCUGGAGAGCAUUCAGUGUCGGAUUUCCUACUAUGUAUCGUCCUUCUUUCAUUUGUGGUCCAUUGUUUUCUAUUGUUGGUUUACAGGUUUGGAAGGCAGCCAUGCUGCUAACCUGACUUUGUGUUGCACAAGAGCUUCACGUCGUCUGAAUGCGACGGUGUUACUGCCAUGGAGAUCGGUGUUGGGAUAGGUGAUGGCUUGCUAUGAAAUUUAGUGCAUGAGAAAAUUGACUUAUUGUUGUGCUUGUACAACUGUGUAAUUUUUCUGAUUUUUUAUUUGUUUUUGUGAAGGUCAAAAUGUUGUGUCCGAGAAGUUCAAGUAUGUUAGUUUAUAUUGUAUUAUUGAGAAGCUCCAACUUGUUGUAGGAGUGCAUUGAGAAACAGAGUGAAAAUAUCUAUAAAAAUGUAAGUUCGGGAGGAUUAAAAAGGAAAAGGAAGAAAGAAAAAGCUCACACUUUUGUCGUUGAUAUUUACAGUGACAAAUAAGUAACAAGUUCAUGUUUGUCGACCAUUGAAGUUCAUGUAUAUGGUAGUUGAUGAUUGUUGUGUGCACUUAGGGGAGCACAAAAAAAUGCGGCUGGCCAAGGUCCGUGGAUGUUGAACUUUCGUUCAGUGAGUGGCGUGUGUCUCAAAAACAAAUUGUGUUCACAAAAACAAAAACAAAAAAAGAUACAAAAAAGAGACAAACCCAAGUAUUUUCGUAGGGAAAAUAAUGACAAGUUCAAAUUGUUCAAAUAUGGAAGCUCAAAAAUGUUAAAAAUAAAUCCAAAAAUUUCUAGUACUCUCCUCCCACCUAUUUUGUCUGGAUAUAAAAAUAUAGACCCUCUCUCUUGAAAACAAAAAAAACUAAGGAAUUUCACACACAAACUUAUAUGAAAGACCUAGAUAUGCAUGAAAAAGAAAUAAAAUCGUAAGUGUUCAACUUAAAAAUAAACUCAUGAAACUCAUUAUCGGGACAAACACAUUGGUUUUAUUGUCCACAUUUAUAAAAUAAAUAAUACAUAGUAAAAAUGUUGAGAAGUUCAAAUUAAAUUAAUGGGGUAGUUCGAUGUUUAAAACAUCUCAAAUUUUUUUCAUUACUAAAUAACAAAAAGUGAGAAGUUCAAACAAAAAAUAGAGCAAAUUAAAAUUUAUAAAAAGGGAUUUUCACUUUUUGUAAAUAAAAAACUCUAGAGUUCAAAUUUAAAUUACAGACCGGUUCAAUAUUUAUUAGAAAAAUAGAAUGUUUCCGUUACUAAAAGAAAUUAUCCAAGAAAUACAAANNNNNNNNNNNNNNNNNNNNNNNNNNNNNNNNNNNNNNNNNNNNNNNNNNNNNNNNNNNNNNNNNNNNNNNNNNNNNNNNNNNNNNNNNNNNNNNNNNNNNNNNNNNNNNNNNNNNNNNNNNNNNNNNNNNNNNNNNNNNNNNNNNNNNNNNNNNNNNNNNNNNNNNNNNNNNNNNNNNNNNNNNNNNNNNNNNNNNNNNNNNNNNNNNNNNNNNNNNNNNNNNNNNNNNNNNNNNNNNNNNNNNNNNNNNNNNNNNNNNNNNNNNNNNNNNNNNNNNNNNNNNNNNNNNNNCUUCAAUUUUUAAAAGAUGUUUGAUGCUUAUUUAAAAACACUUUUUCCUAAUAAUAAAACUUAGAAGUUCAAAUUAAAAUAAUAGAGAAGUUCAAAGCUUAUAAAAAACUAAAAUAAAAUCUCAUUACGAAAGAAUAAAAUAAAGAAGUUCAAAAAAAGGAAGAACCAAAAAAUGUUUAAAUAGAAAUGUUUUGUUUAAAAAUAUAGAAGAAGUUCAAACUAAACUAACGAAGUGGCUUGAUGUUUAUUAAAUUAUCAACCAUGAAGUUCAAAAUUCAAAAAUAGUCAAAUUCGAUGUUUAUUAAAAAUAAGAAACAAUUCAUUACUCAAAAAUAAAAAAAUGUGAAGUUCAAAUUAAAAUAACAUAGAAGUUCAAAGUAUAUUAAAACCUAGGAUUCGCAAGUUUAAAAACAAAAAACCAACGUCAUUAUGGGCAUAUUUAAAAGACAUAGAAGAUAAAACAUGUUUAUUCCGAAAUCGAGCAGUUCAAAAAGUUUGUAGACAUGGAUUUGAUCCUUCUCUUUAAUAUCUAGAAGUUCAAAUUUAAAUAAGUGAGCGGUUAGAUGUUUAUUACAUAGCAAGGACUUUCUCUGUUACUAAUGAAUAACACCAAGAAGUCCUAAUUAAAAAUUGAAGUUGUUUGAUGUUUAUAAAAAUUUCAGAUUUCCACCGAUGCUAAAGAUUACAACCAAGAAGUUCACUUUUAAAAAACGGAGCAAUUCAAUGCAUAUAAAAAACCCAGGAUUCUCGUUAGUAAUGAAUAAAACCAAGAAUUUCAAUUGAAAAAACAGAGCAGUUUGAUAUUUAUUUAAACGAAUCAGAUUUUUCCACUUACUAAACAAUAAAACAAAUAAGUUCAAUUGGAAUAACAAAGAAGUUUGAUGUUCCUAAAAAACUCCAGUUUUCACAUUUCUAAAAAACACACAAAAUUCAAAUAAAAAAGUUAGAGCGGUUCGAUGUCUUUAAAAAACUCAUACUUUUUUGUUACUAAAGCAAAAUAGGGAGAAGUUCAAAUUGAAAACGGCCAGAAGUUCAUGUGCUGCAUGGUGUGUGUUUUCAUAUGAGAAAAUAGAAUAAAAAGUUAAAGUAUAAACACUGUUGGAAGUUCAGGUGCUCAGCACGGUGAAGUUCAAAAACUUCUUAUGAGAGAGGCAACCAACACUAUAUAUCAGUUGUGCAACUAUGAUGAACGGGUAAGAAAUUACGAACAAAAAAACAUGGUAGAAGUUCAAGUGUAAACAGCGGGAAGUGCGAUGAUUAUAGAAAACUUAGAUUUUUCCCGUUAUUAAAGAAUGAAAAAAAGAAGUUCAAAAAUGAAACAACAAGAAGUUUAACUUUUAAAAAUAGAGUGCUUCAAAAUUUCAUAAAAAGAUUAAAGAAAUAAAAUCAGGAACUCCACAUUAAAAGAUGAAGAAGUUCGAUGAUUAUAGAAAACUCAGAUUUUCCUCGUUAUUAAAGAUUGGAAACAAGAAGUUCAAAAAUAAAAAACAGGAAGUUCAACUUUUAAAAAUAGAGCGCUUCAAAAUUUUAUAAAAAAGGAUUAAGAAAUUCAGAUAAAUAUUUAUAAAAAACUCAGAUAUUUUCACAUAACCGAGAGAAGUUCGAUUGAUAACUGCCAGAAGUUCACGUACUACACGGUGUGCAUUUUGUAUUAAAAAGGAAUAAAAAGGCAAAGAGUAAAAGUUGUGUUGUUAUAAGUGCAACUCCUCGGUCAAAGAAAGUUAAAAAAAUUAUUGUGAGAGGGGUUUGUACAAAAGGAGUAUCAUUUGUGUAACACUGACAAAUGGAUGAGAAAAUUACAAACGAAAAUACGUCACAGAAGUUCAACGUGAAAAUAGCAUGAAGUUCAACUACUACGCUGAAUGAAUUUCAGAUGAAAAAGUUUUAAAACCAUCGCGAGUAUGAAAAAACGAUCAACACGGUAAAGUUAUGUGCUUACAACAGCUUUCUAAUGGUAUAUCACUUGCUCAAUUCCGAUGAGUUGAUGGAGAGUUACGAGCAGUGGAUGGAGACCUACAAGAAAAAAAAUCACAUGAAAAACAGAGUGAAGUUCAGGUACACGCGCCGAGAAGUUCAGGUUCUUCACGCGGUGCAUUUUCGAAGAAUCUGUUUCGCGAUAAAGGCAGAAUGAAUGAUCUCGCCGUUUUCGAAAUUACAGGAAAACGGCUAGGAAUUAGAGAAAACCAUCAACAUGGAAAAGUUUCACAUUUUCCGUAGCUUUUCAGAGGUAUAUUAUUUGCCUCAUUCCGAUAAAGUUUGUAGAAAUUAUGGGGAAAAUAUGUUUUUAUCCAUUUUCCAAAUUGACUUAAAACCGUAAGGAAUUAGGAGAAACAAUAUAUACAAAACAGUUUCGCAUUUGUUCAAGCUUUCCAACGCCAUAUCAUUUGCUGCAUUCGGACGCACGGUUAAGAAAUUAGCUCGAAAUUACGUACUCAGUAGGACUUUGACCAUUUUCUAAAUUACUCUUAAACCAUUCAAAAUUAGAAAAAAACUUUCAAGAUGAAAAAGUAGCACAUUUUCAUAAGCUUUCCAACGCCAUAUCAUAUGUCUCCAUUCGAUUAGCUGUUUAGAAACGACAUCGAAAAAACGAACUCAGUUGUUCGGUUUACGAAAUUUUAUGUUUUUCACAUUAUUCUUUAACCAUAGGGAAUUAGAGAAACCUUUCAACAUGUGGAAGGAGCAGUUUUGCAGCAGCUUUCCAAUGCCAUAUUAUAUGCCUCAUUCCGAUAAGCGGUUUAGAAAUGCGAUCAAAAAUACGAUUCACGUUUUUUGUGCGAAAAAAACGGUUUUCAAAACUGCUCUUAAACCGCUUAUAUUUUGCCAAAAAAUUUAAGUUGGGUCAUGAUAUUGGUGUCCAUAGCUUUCCAACGGUAUAUCGCAAGCCCCAUUUGGGCAAUGUUGGCGGAAGUUCAACCUAGUUCACAGGGAAGUUCAACGUACUACUAGCGGGGCAGGUCAGGUUGUGAUCAGAAUAUUAUUCUGAUCCCGUGAUCAGAAUAGUGUUUAUAUAUAUAUAUAUAUAUAUAUAUAUAUAUAUAUAUAUAUAUAUANNNNNNNNNNGUUGUUGGGGAGGAGAGGUGAAUCUAGCUAGCUAACUAAUGGAGAGGGGUGUUAUGGUAGAGGGGGGCAUUAAUGGGGGAGAGAAGAGAGGUGUAGGAGAAAGAGAGAGGCCAUUUAUGGAGGAGGGUGCUAUUAAUGAGGAGAAAAGAGAGGUAGUAGGAAGAGAAAAGAACAACAACAAUGGUGGAGAGUGGAGAGGGGAAAGGAGGGGGACAGAUGGCAAAGUGGGGGAGAGGAGGGGGAGGGGUGGAAAAGGUGGCACCAGCAGCAACUAGCAGUAGUGCUGCUUAGCAAAAAGUGAUGCUACUAUGGGACUUAGUAGUAGCGCUGUCCAGGAAAAGCGCUACUACUAAGUGGGGCCCAUUAGUAGUAGCGGCACAGUCAAAUCAAGCGCUACUACUAAACUAUUAGUAGUAACGCUUGUUUCUGUACAGCGCUACAACUCCAGCGACCGUUGGUGGCCUCAUCUGGUCCCACAUAGUAGUAGCGGGUUUUUGCUUCCCAGCGCUACUACUACAGAGUUACUAGUAGCGCCUGCCAGGUAAAGCGCUACUACUAAAUAGCAACAACGGUUACUAUUUUAUAGCUCUACUACUAUUGUACUGUGUAUAACAUUUUCCUAGCAGUGCAUACUCACAAUGUCUGGGUACCAUAAUCACUUCACUCAGCUAGGAGUUAAUCUUUUGGAUGAUAGUGUCAGUGAUAGAGUUCUUGAAUCACUGCCACCAAGCUAUAAAGGCUUCGUGAUGAACAAUAAUAUGCAAGGGAUGAACAAGACGAUUCCCGAGCUCUUCNNNNNNNNNNCUAUUAAUGAGGAGAAAAGAGAGGUAGUAGGAAGAGAAAAGAACAGCAACAAUGGUGGAGAGUGGAGAGGGGAAAGGAGGGGGACAGAUGGCAAAGUGGGGGAGAGGAGGGGGAGGGGUGGAAAAGGUGGCACCAGCAGCAACUAGCAGUAGCGCUGCUUAGCAAAAAGUGAUGCUACUAUGGGACUUAGUAGUAGCGCUGUCCAGGAAAAGCGCUACUACUAAGUGGGGCCCAUUAGUAGUAGCGGCACAGUCAAAUCAAGCGCUACUACUAAACUAUUAGUAGUAACGCUUGUUUCUGUACAGCGCUACAACUCCAGCGACCGUUGGUGGCCUCAUCUGGUCCCACAUAGUAGUAGCGGGUUUUUGCUUCCCAGCGCUACUACUACAGAGUUACUAGUAGCGCCUGCCAGGUAAAGCGCUACUACUAAAUAGCAACAACGGUUACUAUUUUAUAGCUCUACUACUAUUGUACUGUGUAUAACAUUUUCCUAGCAGUGCAUACUCACAAUGUCUGGGUACCAUAAUCACUUCACUCAGCUAGGAGUUAAUCUUUUGGAUGAUAGUGUCAGUGAUAGAGUUCUUGAAUCACUGCCACCAAGCUAUAAAGGCUUCGUGAUGAACAAUAAUAUGCAAGGGAUGAACAAGACGAUUCCCGAGCUCUUCACAAUACUUAAGGUUGUGGAGGUAGAAAUCAAGAAGGAGCAACGAGUGUUGAUAGUUAACAAGACCACUAGUUUCAAGAAAAAGGGCAAAGGAAAGAAGGGGAACUUCAAGAAUAAUGGCAAGAAAGUUGCUACUCCCGAGAAGAAGCCCAAGUCUGGACCAGAGCCUAAAACUGAGUGCUUCUACUGCAAAGGGACUGGUCACUUGAAGCGGAACUGCCCCAAGUAUUUGGCGGAUAAGAAGGAUGGCAAAGUGAAGAAAGGUAUAUUUGAUAUACAUGUUAUUGAUGUGUACCUUACUAAUGCUCGUAGUAGCGCCUGGGUAUUUGAUACUGGUUCUGUUGCUCAUAUUUGCAACUCGAAAUAGGGGCUAUGGAUUAAACAAAGAUUGGCUAAGGACGAGGUGACGAUGCACGUCGGAAAUGGUUCCAAGGUCGAUGUGAUCACCAUCGGCACGCUACUUCUACAUCUACCUUCGGGAUUAAUUUUAAACCUAAAUAAUUGUUAUUUGGUGCCAGCGUUGAGCAUGAACAUUAUAUUUGGAUCUUGUUGAUGCGGGACGAUUAUUCAUUUAAAUAAAAGAAUAAUGGUUGUUCUAUUUAUAUGAGUAAUAUCUUUUAUGGUCAUGCGCCCUUGAAGAGUGGUCUAUUUCGUUGAAUCUCGGUCGUAGUGAUACACAUAUUCAUAAUAUUGAUGCCAAAAGAUGCAAAGUUGAUAAUGAUAGAGCAACUAGACAUUUGUGGCACUGCUGUUUAGGUCAUAUUGGUGUAAAGCGCAUGAAGAAACUCCAUGCGGAUGGACUUUUGGAAUCACUUGAUUAUGAAUCAUUUCAUGCUUGCCAACCAUGCCUCAUGGGCAAGAUGACUAAGACUCAGUUCUCCGGAACAAUGGAGCGAGCAACUAACUUAUUGGAAAUAAUACAUACUGAUGUAUGUGGUUCCAUCAGUGUUGAGGCUCGCAGUCGGUAUCAUUAUGUUCUGACUUUCACAAAUGAUUUGAGUAGAUAUGGUAUAUCAACUUAAUGAAACACAAGUGUGAAACAUUUGAAAAGUUCAAAGAAUUUCAAAGUGAAGUAGAAAAUCAUCAUAACAAGAAAAUAAGGUUUCUAUGAUCUGAUCGCGGAGGCGAAUAUUUGAGUUACGAGUUUGGUCUUCAUUUAAAACAAUGUGGAAUAGUUUCGCAACUCACGCCACCUGGAACACCACAGCAUAAUGGUGUGUCCAAACGUCAUAACCGUAAUUUAUUAGAUAUGGUGCGAUCUAUGAUGUCUCUUACCAAUUUACCACUAUUGUUUUGGGGUUAUGCAUUAGAGACAGUGUCGGUGUAUGAUAACCCACAAGUAUAGGGGAUCGCAACAGUUUUCGAGGGUAGAGUAUUCAACCCAAAUUUAUUGAUUCGACACAAGGGGAGCCAAAGAAUAUUCUCAAGUAUUAGCAGCUGAGUUGUAAAUUCAACCACACCUGGAAACUUAACAUCUGCAGAGAAGUAUUUAGUAGCAAAGUAAUAUGAUAGUAGUGGUAACGGUAGCAAAAGGUAACGGUAACAAAAGUAAUAUUUUUGGUGUUUUGUAGUGAUGAUAACAAUAGCAACAGAAAAGUAAUUAAGCGAAGAACAAUAUAUGGAAAGACCGUAGGCAAUGGAUCGGUGAUAGAGAAUUAUGCCAGAUGUGGUUCAUCAUGUAACAGUCAUAACCUAGGGUGACACAGAACUAGCUCCAAUUCAUCAAUGUAAUGUAGGCAUGUAUUCCGAAUAGUCAUACGUGCUUACGGGAAAGAACUUGCAUGACAUCUUUUGUCCUACCCUCCCAUGGCAGCGGGGUCCGAGUGGAAACAAAGGGAUAUUAAGGCCUCCUUUUAAUAGAGUAUCUGACCAAAGUGUUAACACAUAGUGAAUACAUGAACUCCUCAAACUACGGUCAUCACCAGGAGUGGUCCCGAUUAUUGUCACUUCGGGGUUGCUGGAUCAUAACACAUAGUAGGUGAUCAUAGACUUGUGAGAUAGGAUCAAGAACUCACAUAUAUUCAUGAAAACAUAAUAAGUUCAGAUCUGAAAUCAUGGCAAUCGGGCCCUAAUGACAAGCAUUAAGCAUAGCAAAGUCAUAGCAACAUCAAUCUCAGAACAAAGUGGAUACUAGGGAUCAAACCCUACCAAAACUAACUCGAUUGCAUGAUAAAUCUCAUCCAACCCAUCAGCGUCCAGCAAGCCUACAAUGGAAUUACUCACGCACGGAAAUUGGUGAUGGAGGAAGGUUGAUGAUGACGAUGGCGACGGAUUCCCCUCUCCGGAGCCCCGAAUGGACUCCAGAUCAGCCCUCCCGAGAGAGUUUAGGGCUUGGCGGUGGCUCCGUAUUGUAAAACGCGAUGAAUCCUUCUUCUUUAUUUUUUCUCCCCGAACACGAAUAUAUGGAGUCAAGAUGGACGUUGGUGGAGCUCAAGGGGGCCCACGAGGCAGGGGGCGCGCCCAGGGGGGCAGGCGUGCCCCCACCCUCGUGGCUAUGGUGUGGGCCCCCUGGCCUUGAUUCUUUGCCAGUAUUUUUUAUUAUUUCCAAAAAUAAUCUCCGUGGAGUUUCAGGUCAUUCCGAGAAUUUUUUCUGCACAUAAAUAACACCAUGGCAAUUUUGCUGAAGACAGUGUCGGUCCGGGUAUUUCCAUUCAAAUCAAAGCAAGUUAGAGUCCAAAACAAGGGCAAAAGUGUUUGGAAAAGUAGAUACGACAGAGACGUAUCAACUCCCCCAAGCUUAAACCUUUGCUUGUCCUCAAUCAAUUCAGUUGACAAGCUGAAAGUGAUAGAGAAAAACUUUUACAAACUCUGUUUGCUCUUGUUGUUGUAAAUAUGUAAAGCCAACAUUCAAGUUUUUAGCAAAGAUUAUGAACUAACCAUAUUCACAAUAACUCUUAGGUCUCAUGUUUACUCAUAUCAAUAGCAUAGUCAACUAGCGAGCAAUAAUAAUAAAUCUUAGAUGACAACACUUCCUCAAAACAAUCAUAAUAUGAUAUAACAAGAUGGUAUCUCGCUAGCCCUUUCUGAGACUGCAAAACAUAAAUGUAGAGCACCUUUAAAGAUCAAGGACUGACUAGACAUUGUAAUUCAUUCUAAAAGAGAUGCAGUCAAGUCAUACUCAAUGUAAACUAACAGUAAUGAAUUCAAAUGACAGUGGUGCUCUCCAACUGGUGCUUUUUAAUAAGAGGAUGAUGACUCAACAUAAAAGUAAAUAGAUAGGCCCUUCGCAGAGGGAAGUAGGGAUUUGUAGAGGUGCCAGAGCUCGAUUUUGAAAUAGAGAUGAAUAAUAUUUUGAGCGGUAUACUUUCAUUGUCAACAUAACAACCAAGAGAUGGCGAUAUCUUCCAUGCUACACACAUAAUAGGCGGUUCCCAAACAGAAUGGUAAAGUUUAUACUCCCCCUCCACCAACAAGCAUCAAUCCAUGGCUUGCUCGAAACAAUGAGUGCCUCCAACUAACAAGAGUCUCGGGGGAGUUUUGUUUGUAGUUAUUUUGAUUUUAUUUGCAUAAAGCAUGGGACUGGGCAUCCCGGUGACCAGCCAUUUUCUCGUGAGUGAGGAGCGGAGUCCACUCCUCUUGAGAAUAAUACACCUAACAUGGAAGAUACGGAUACAUGAGCUAUUCGAGCAUACAAAACAUGAUAUUUAUUUGAAGGUUUAGAGUUUGGCACAUACAAAUUUACUUGGAACAGCAGGUAGAUACCGCAUAUAGGUAGGUAUGGUGGACUCAUAUGGAGCAACUUUGGGAUUUAUGGGAUUGGAUGCACAAGCAGUAUUCUUGCUUAGUACAGGUGAAGGCUAGAAAAAGACUGGGAAGCGACCAACUAGAGAGCGACAACAGCCAUGAACAUGCAUUAAAAUUAAUCAACAUCGAAUGCAAGCAUGAGUAGGAUAUAAUGCACCAUGAACAUAAAUAUCGUAGAGGCUAUGUUGAUUUUGUUUAAACUACAUGCAUGAACAUGUGCCAAGUCAAGCCACUCGAAUCGUUCAAAAGAGGAGACCACCCUAUCAUACCACAUCACAACCAUUUUAAUAGCAUGUUGGCACGCAAGGUAAACCAUUAUAAGCUCCUAGCUAAUUAAGCAUGGCAUAAGCAACUAUAAUCUCUAAUUGUCAUUGCAAACAUGUUCAUUCAUAAUAGGCUGAAUCAGGAACGAUGAACUAAUCAUAUUUACAAAAACAAGAGAGGUCGAGUUCAUACCAGCUUCUCCCAUCUCAAUCAGUCCAUCAUAUAUCGUCAUAAUUGCCUUUCACUUGCACGACCGAAUGAUGUGAGUAAUAAUAAUAGUGCACGAGCAUUGUACUAAGCUGGAAUCUGCAAGCAUUCAAUAAACAGGAGAAGACAAGGCAAUAUGGACUCUUUUGUUAGAUCAACAAUAAUGCAUAUAGGAGUCACACCAACAAUUUAAUCAUGGUCUUCUCCUAUCGACCCCCAAAGAAAAGAAAUAAAACUAUUUACACGGGAGAGCUCCCAACAAGCAUAAGAAGAACAGGAAAUAUUUUUGGGUGUUGUUUUUAAUUACUACUACAAGCAUAGAAAAUAAAGCUAGCUAAAAGCUACAACUAAUUUUUUUGUUUUUCUUAAGGUUUAUCAAACACACAAGAAGAAAGCAUAAAAAGGAAAUAAACUAGCAUGGAUAUUACAAUGAAAAAGUAUGAGCACCGACAUCUAGCAAUGAGUGUGUGAACAAGAAUGUAAUGUCGGUGAGAAGUACACACUCCCCUAAGCUUAGGCUUUUGGCCUAAGUUGGUCUAUGGCCACGGUUGGCCUGGCGGAUAUCCAAAUUAAUAGUUGGGGUCGUACCGCGAUGAAGCCUCGGCUUUCCACUGGUUGGCAAUCACCUCCGGAUCCUACUGGUAAUCAGACUGUCGUGGAGGCUCAAAUUGUGGUUCGGGUUCUGGCUCUGCAGCUGAUGUAGGGUUCCGGUAGGCGUGAAUGGCCUCCAACAGAACAAGGUACUUGCCUGCAGAUAAAUCAAACAAGGAAGGAGCAGGCAGGGUAAUAGUCUUGGGAUGAUGUUUAUCAAAGAACAAUUUGUAUUUAAGCUCAUUUUCUCUAUUCUUAACAGUAAAAUCAUGUGCUACCAUACUCUUAUAAUCUAAAUAAACAGGAGGCAGCAAUUUUUCUUCCUUCUCAUAAUGCCUAAUAGGUAUGUUAAAAUGUGUAGCUAGGCGCGAGGCGAAGAUGCCUCCAAAGACGGGGCCCUUAGUACGGUUAAGAUUUAACCGCUUUGCAAUAAUAGCACCCAUGCUAAAUGUAUCAUCACGAAAUAAGGCAUGGCACAAAAUAACAAUAUCAGGGGCACUCAGGUUUCCACAGUUUUCGCGCCCAAUUAAGCAUCUACUAGCAAGUAUAGCAAAGUAACGUAGAACGGGAAAGUGUAUGCUAGUAGUUCGUGCAUCGGAAACCUUCCUUGUUUCCCCUACAGUGAUGGUAUCAAUAAACCCAUCCACAUCGUCAUGAUGUGGUUCCUCUAUGAUGCCCUCGAGAGGGAUCAAACAAACCCGACAAAAAUCACGAAGUGACAUCUCCUUAUGCUCAUUAUAUAAAUAAAACUCCACUGUAGGUGGUGAGUUCCUAGCAUGGAAAUGAAAGUUUUGCACAAAGAUAUUGGUGCAUAAGAGAUACUGUUCACGUUGGUCGUGGAGGAAGGCGGUGAGGCCUGCAUUCUCAGCCAUUCAUAGAAAUCAUCAUAAAUCCUGGCUGCUCUCAAGAAAUCAUCACAAGGCCAUUCACACGGCCGUACCUCCGUAGUGCGAGGGAGAUUAUACUUGGGUCUCUUAUCCUCCUCACUUUGCUUAUCCUUCGAGCUUCGGCCCGAUGAGCCCCUCAAAAAUCUCUUCAUUAUUUUCUAAAAAAAUCUGAAAUUUCUAGUAACUUCAAAAUAAAAGUGAACCAAACUCAACAAAAUUGAUAGCAACUACUCCUACAAGUGCCUAGAGCCUAUAUCAUGCAUUAGAACUACUUGGAACCAUAUAAAUUUUACAUGCAAGCUCAAGAACGUGGUCACCUAGGCAGCACAAAUUUGCAAUGAAUAAAGCACUAGAACAAAAACUAAUUGGACCAAUGGAGGAGUCACAUACCAAGGAACAAUCCCCCAAAGCAGUUUUGCGAGAAGUGCUUUGAGCAAGGAGAUCGAAAAUCACAGCAAAAUGAGCUAGAACUCGUGCUUGAGCUGGAUAGUGGUGUUUGUGGGAGGAAGAAGGAGUGUGUGGGUGCAGGGAUAAGUGGAGGGGAGCCACCAUGGGCCCACGAGGCAGGGGGCGCACCCAGGGGGGUGGGCGCGCCGUGGACCCUCGUGGCCAGGUGCUUGCUCCCCCUGUUGUGUUCUGAGUGCCAGAUAUUCUCAAAUAUUCCAGAAAAAAUCAUAUUAAACUGGCAGGGCAUUUGGAGAACUUUUUUUUCGUGGUAUUUUUAUAUUGCAUGGAUAAUCAGAAAAUAGACAGAAAUUACUAUUUUUGCUUUAUUUAAUAUAAAUAACAGAAAGUAAAAAGAGGGUACAGAGAGUUGUGUUAUCUAAAUUCAUCCAUCUCAUGCUCAUCAAAAGGAAUCCACUAACAAGGUUGAUCAAGUCCUGUUAACAAACUCAUUCCGAGUAACAUGGAACCGGAGAAUUUUCGAAUUACACUAGGUUACCUCAACGGGGAUAUGCACAUCCCCAACAAUAAGAAUAUCAUAUUUCUUCUUGACAGUACGAAGAGGAAAUUCAAAACCUCCAAAAAUAAUCGAUGGAAUUUUUCCGAUAGAGUUUAUACUGUGGACUUGAGGUUGUUUCCUUGGAAAGUGUACCGUAUGCUCAUUACCAUUAACAUGAAAAGUGACAUUGCCUUUGGUGCAAUCAAUAACAGACCCUAUAGUAUUCAAAAAGGGUCUUCCAAGAAUAAUAGACAUACUAUCGUCCUCGGGAAUAUCAAGAAUAACAAAGUCCAUUAAAAUAGUAACGUUUGCAACCACAACAGGCACAUCCUCACAAAUACCGACAGGUAUAGCAGUUGAUUUAUCAGCCAUUUGCAACGAUAUUUCAGUAGGUGUUAACUUAUUCAAAUCAAGUCUAUGAUAUAAAGAGAGAGGCAUAACACUAACACCGGCCCCAAGAUCACAUAAAGCAGUUUUAACAUAGUUUCUUUUAAUGGAGCAUGGUAUAGUGGGUACUCCUAGAUCUCCUAACUUCUUAGGUAUUCCACCCUUAAAAGUAUAAUUAGCAAGCAUGGUGGAAAUCUCAGCUUCCGGUAUCUUUCUUUGAUUAGUGACAAUUUCUUUCAUAUACUUAGCAUAAGGAUUCAUUUUAAGCAUAUCAGUCAAACACAUACGCAAAAAGAUAGGUCUAAUCAUUUCGGCAAAGCGCUCAAAAUCCUCAUCAUCCCUUUUCUUGGAUGGCUUAGGAGGAAAAGGCAGAGGUUUCUGAACCCAUGGUUCUCUUUCUUUACCAUUCUUCAUAGCAACAAAGUCUCUUUUAUCAUAAGUUGAUUCUUUGAUUGUGGGUUAUCAAGAUCAACAGCAGGUUCAAUCUCUACAUCAUUAUCAUUGCUAGGUUGAGCAUCAACAUGAACAUUAUCAUUAACAUUAUCACUAGUUUCAUGUUCAUUACCAUAUUGUGUUUUAGCAUUAGAAAUUGAAAUAUCAUUGGGAUUCUCAGGUGGUUCAGCAAUAGGUUCACUAGAAGCAUGCACAGUCGUAUCAUUUUUCUGUUUCUUCCUUUUAGAUGGACUAGGUGCAUCAAUAUUAUUUCUCUGAGAAUCUUGCUCAAUUCUCUUAGGAUGGCCUUCAGGAUACAAAGGUUCCUGAGUCAUUUUACCAGUUCUAGUAGCCACUCUAACAGCAUAGUCAUUAUUCUUACUAUUCAAUUCAUUGAGCAAAUCAUUUUGACCUUUAAGUACUUGUUCUACUUGAGUGGUAACCAUAGAAGCAUGUUUACUAAUGAUUUUAAGUUCACCUUUAACUCUAGACAUAUAAUCAACUAAGUGUUCAAUCAUUUAAGCAUUUUGUUUCAAUUGUCUACCAAAAUAAGCAUUGAAGUCUUCUUGCUUAACCAUAAAGUUAUCAAACUCAUCCAAACAUUGGCUAGAAAACUUAGUAGGAGGGAUUUCAGCUUUAUCAUAUCUAUAGAGAGAAUUUACCUUUACUACCUGUGUCGGGAUGUCAAGACCAUGUGUUUCUUUAAUAGGUGAUGGACUAAAACCAUAUAUUUCUUCAACAGGCAGUCAAUUAAGACCAUGUAUUUCUUCAAUAGGAGGUAAAUUCUUAACAUCUUCAGCUUUAAUACCCUUUUCUUUCAUGGAUUUAUUUGCCUCUUGCAUAUCUUCAGGACUGAUAAAUAGAACACCUCUUUUCUUCGGAGUUGGUUUAGGAAUAGGCUCAGGAGUUGGCUCAGGAGCUAGCUCAGGAAGUGUCCAAUUAUUUUCAUUUGUCAACAUAUUAUUCAAUAGAAUUUUAGCUUCAUCCGGUGUUCUUUCCCUGAAAACAAAACCAGCACAACUAUCCAGGUAAUCUCUGGAAGCAUCUGUUAGUCCAUUAUAAAAGAUAUCAAGUAUUUCAUUUUUCUUAAGAGGGUGAUCAGGCAAAUCAUUAAGUAAUUGGAGAAGCCUCCCCCAAGCUUGUGGGAGACUCUCUUCUUCAAUUUGCACAAAAUUAUAUAUAUCCCGUAAGGCAGCUUGUUUAUUAUGAGCAGGGAAAUAUUUAGCAGAGAAGUAAUAAAUCAUAUCCUGGGGACUACACACACAACCAGGAUCAAGAGAAUUAAACCAUAUCUUAGCAUCACUCUUUAAUGAGAACGGAAAUAUUUCAAGGAUAUAAAAGUAGCGAGUUCUCUCAUCAUUAGUGAACAGGGUGGCUAUAUCAUUUAAUUUAGUAAGAUGUGCCACAAUAGUUUCAGAUUCAUAGCCAUAAAAAGGAUCAGAUUCAACCAAAGUAAUUAUAUCAGGAUCAAUAGAGAAUUCAUAAUCCUUAUCAGUAACAAAGAUAGGUGAAGUAGCAUAAGCAGGAUCAUAUUUCAUUCUAGCAUUCAGAGCUUUUUGUUUAAGCUUAGCUAAUAAUUUCUUAAGAUCACUUCUAUCAUUGCAAGCAAGAAAAUCUCUUUCAGUUUCUUCAUCCAUAACAUAGCCCUCAGGCACAACAGGCAAUUAAUAUUUAUUAAGAGAGCCUUCAUCAUCAUUUUCAUCAAUAUUAUCAGUUUCAAUAAUUUCAUUCUCUAUAGCCCAAUCAAGUUGUUCAUCAAGAAGUUCACCAAGUGGCACAGUACUAUCAAGCAUAGAAGUACUUUCAUCAUAAGUAUCAUGUGUAGCAUAAGUGGCAUCAUCAAUAAUAUGCGACAUAUCAGAAUUAAUAGCAGAAGAAGGUUUAGGUGUCGCAAGCUUACUCAAAACAGAAGGUGAAUCAAUUGCAGAGCUAGAUGGCAGUUCCUUACCUCCCCUCGUAGUUGAGGGAUAAAUCUUGGUUUUUGGAUCUCUGAAGUUCUUCAUAAUGAUAAGCAGAUAUAAAUCCCAAGUGACUCAAAGAAUAGAGCUAUGCUCCCUGGCAACGGCGCCAGAAAAUGGUCUUGAUAACCCACAAGUAUAGGGGAUCGCAACAGUUUUCGAGGGUAGAGUAUUCAAACCAAAUUUAUUGAUUCGACACAAGGGGAGCCAAAGAAUAUUCUCAAGUAUUAGCAGCUGAGUUGUCAAUUCAACCACACCUAGAAACUUAAUAUCUGCAGCAAAGUAUUUAGUACCAAAGUAAUAUGAUAGUAGUGGUAACGGUAGCAAAAGGUAACGGUAACAAAAGUAAUAUUUUCGGUGUGUUGUAGUGAUGAUAACAAUAGCAACGGAAAAGUAAAUAAGCGAAGAACAAUAUAUGGAAAGCUUGUAGGCAAUGGAUCGGUGAUAGAGAAUUAUGCCGGAUGUGGUUCAUCAUGUAACAGUCAUAACCUAGGGUGACACAGAACUAGCUCCAAUUCAUCAAUGUAAUGUAGGCAUGUAUCCGAAUAUAGUCAUACGUGCUUAUGGAAAAGAACUUGCAUGACAUCUUUUGUCCUACCCUCCCGUAGCAGCGGGGUCCUAGUGGAAACUAAGGGAUAUUAAGGCCUCCUUUUAAUAGAGUACUGGAGAAAAGCAUUAACACAUAGUGAAUACAUGAACUCCUCAAACUACGGUCAUCACCGGACUGCCUGUAGGUUCGUUGAGCCAAACUGGUCGAUGUCGAGUCUAGAAAUGCUCUAGUUAUAUGUAGGGGAAUUGAUUGAGGGAGGGAACGUAAGGUUCUUUUACUCCUUUACCUAUCCCGCUGAUCUGAGUCAUUCUCUCCUCAUUCAACGUGGGUUAAGGACUAGGCUCUCUUCCUCUAUCAGGUUCACGUGUUACUAAUCCGUUGUAGCUUAUAGGAUUGUUGUUACAAGUCCCAGUUCAGUUUCUACUAUUCUUAGUAUGUUGCUAAUUGAAUCAGAACCUUGAUAUGAUGUUGUUGAGUGGUAUUGUGAACUGUUGUGGAUGUCUCAAAUCUUUUUCUGAGCAUUUACAGCCGUUAUGCUCUCCAAUUUUCCCUAGAAAUUCUGAUGUCUUUGUCUUGUGGUUGUGCUUUCAGAUGGCCAACCGCGUUCAUAACCAAGUGGUUCGCCUGACCCGGUGCCUCGACGUGCCCGGUCAUACUGCUAUGUUAGUCCGGGUCAUGAUCGAGACGGGUUACCAUUGGUAUCCCGAAUACACCGUCGAAGAGAAGUUCCGCGACUUUAACCAAAGCCAGUAUUUCUACACCGUCAGGAUAUUUCCUUCUUAUCCUGGAUCUACCGAGCCCCUUCACUGUUCCUAUGGACUCGGGGUUACCGUUGAGAUGGCUGUGCAGGAUGCUGCCUAUUCCAUGAUGACCAUCAUGCGAGUUCGGACUGGCCUGCUUCGGAACACCGACUUUCGUUACAUGCCAGCUUCACUUCCGGGAGCGCAAGGGUAUCUUCAGGCCAUCUAUGCUGACUCCACUCAGGAGGACUCAUUAACUCGUACCACUGCCGAGAUGCUCGAAGAUAAGGACCGAGAGAAUCGGGCCUUGAGGUUGGAGCUUUUCAAUACCCGUGCUGAUCAUUGGGCCACAUUGACUCGGUUUGCACCUGCGGUGCAAGCUGGAUGUAUGGAUACAAGGGACCUGUAUCUUGUGAGAUAAGCUCUGCCAGACAUGGUGGAUUGGCGUGAUGUGGGAGGCGUCACCCCACCCGUGGUCCCCGCAGGCCACCGUUUGUUGGUCCAAGACCUCAUCCUAGCCCCUAUGGUCCACAGGCUCCUCAGGACUGUCUGUUCCCGGAUGGUCAUGUUGAACUUCCAGGCUAUGGAGGUGACUUCUAUGAGAACUACUACGGAGUUGUCUGAGUUAGUAGUAGUAUCAUUAGUAAUGUAGUAGUUGUAUCUCCACCAUCCUGCGAGACUUGUGGAAUAUGACUUUGUGUGUAAUCAAAUCCGGAGGUGUAGGCAAAUAAUGUAUAGGAGCUUGGAAUGCCUCCGAUGAGACGUAAUGUCUUUCAUCAUAGUUGUACUGUAGCCUGGGCUUGUACUAAACUAUGUAUGAUGUGUAUGACCGUUGGUAUAUAUAUAUGGCAGUUUUAUAUUACCAUGACAUACGGAUGAACAUCUCUGCAUUCCGUGUUAUCCAUUACAUUCUGCACUUCCUUGCUAAGUUUGAGCCAUCCUUAUCUAAACCAUUGUCUUGUUUUCUCCUAGGAUGGUCAACACCCGCAGCAACCCUGUUUCCUCGAAGCAGGGGGAAGCCAGUGCAGCUAGGGGUGAAAAUCUGCCUCACCCGCCUUCUCUGGCCGAAGUAAUGCUAGAGGCGGAAAGAAACAAGCGUGAGACUAACCGCCUACUGGAGCGGAUUGAGCAGAACACUGCACGCCACCCGCGAAAUGAUUUGGUGUCAAUCAAUGACUUUAUCAAGCUGUACCCACCAAAGUUUAACCAGUCCGUCGAGCCCCUCGACGCGGAUGACUGGCUUCGCAGCAUCACCCACAAGCUACGUUCUGCCAACGUAGCCGAAGCUGACAAGGUUACCUAUGCUGCCUAUCACCUCGAAGGCCCUGCUAGCCUUUGGUGGGAAAACUUCGAAGCUAUGCGGCCCGUCGGCCAAAUCACUACUUGGGUUGAAUUCAGUGAGGCUUUCCAUGAGCAUCACAUUCCGGAAGGUCUCAUGGAUCGCAAGAGGGAGGAAUUCUGCAACUUCACCCAAGGAAGACUGACUGUGGAUUCUUAUAGUCGUGAAUUUGGGAAUCUGGCACGUUAUGCUCCUGAAGAGGUAUCUACUGACGCUAAGAAGCAGGCAAGGUUCCGCAAGGGACUUAGCCCUGAGCUUCGCCGCGAUCUCCGUCUGCACGAGUGCACAUCCUUUCAGAAGUUGGUCAAUAAAGCCAUCAGUGCUGAGACGGGCCAGACUGAUUAUGAUGCUUCACGCAAGCACUCCCGUGAUUUUGGCUCUUCAUCCGGCUCUGGAACUCAGAAGCGCCGGGUGUGGAUUCCAAGCACGGCACUGCCACCCAGGUUCAUCCCGAGGCCAUCCUUUGAGGCGCCUCGUCCCAACCAACAAUUUGCACCACCCAAGCCCUAUGGUGGCCCCGCUGCUAAUGCUGCUCCACGCCCCAAUGUGGUGACAUGCUUCAAGUGUGGAGAGCCAGGUCACUAUAGCCGAGAGUGUCCCAAGAACAACAACCCCAAUCAAACUGGAAAGUCCGUUGGCCGUGGUAAGCCAGCAGGGAAGACUUUCUACGCCAAGCCGGCCACCACUACACGUGGCCAUGUCAAUUAUGUUUCAGCCGAGGAGGCUCAUGAGGAUCCUAACGUCGUCCUUGGUACGCUCCUUGUUAACUGCCAUCCAGCAUCUGUUCUUUUUGAUACUGGAGCAUCUCAUUCAUUCAUAUCCGAGAACUAUGCUCGAUUGCAUAACACGACAUUCUGUGACAUGCCCUCUACCAUGGAAAUUCAAACCCCUGGCUCUAGAUGGCAAACUUCUAGAGUAAGCCAUGGGAACGAAAUUCUUGUCGAUAGGCUUGUCUUCCUUGCAUCCUUAAUAGCUCUCAAGUCCUCGGACAUAAGCAUCAUCUUGGGUAUGGACUGGAUGUCAGCUCAUUAUGCUAAGAUUGAUUGUGCCACUAGAACCGUUCAACUUACUCACCCGUCGGGCAAGAUAGUUAACGUCAUAACACGAGUGGCCAAGCGCCAACUUUACUCCCUAAAUGCCAACCCCCUUCCAGACCUUGAGGACGUUCCGGUAGUCCGAGACUUUCCGGAUGUCUUUCCAGAAGAACUGCCAGGUGUUCCACCUGACAGGGAUGUUGAGUUUGUGAUAGACCUUGUUCCAGGAAUCGUUCCAAUUUCUAGAAGAGCCUACAAGAUGGCACCCUUAGAACUAGCCGAGCUUAAGAACCAACUCGAUGAGUCCUUGAAAAAGGGUUUCAUCCGUCCUAGUUCCUCUCCUUGGGCUUGCCCCGUCCUCUUCGUUAAGAAGAAGGAUGGAACGGAUCGAAUGGUUGUGGAUUACCGACCUGUCAACUUGGUCACCAUCAAGAACAAAUAUCCGCUUCCCAGGAUCAACGAUCUGUAUGAUCAGCUCGCUGGAUCCUCAGUCUUCUCCAAGAUGGAUUUGAGGUUGGGUUACCAUCAAAUCAAAAUCAGAAACGGGGACAUUCCCAAAACGGCCUUUUUUACUCGUUAUGGCCAAUACGAGUACACCGUCAUGUCCUUCGGUUUAACCAAUGCCCCAGCCACCUUCUCGCGGUUAAUGAACUCGGUUUUCAUGGAGUACUUGGAUAAAUUCAUCGUAGUAUACCUCGAUGACAUACUCAUCUACUCCAAGAAUGAAGAGGAACAUGCCGUACAUCUAAGGCUGGUAUUGAUGAAACUUCGAGAGCAUCGCCUUUAUGCCAAAUUCUCCAAGUGUGAAUUUUGGUUGCCAGAAGUGACCUAUCUAGGCCAUGUAAUCUCUGGUAAGGGUAUUGCUAUCAAUCCCGAGCGAGUUCAAGCCGUCCUUGAUUGGACUCCACCUGAAACGGUCAAGCAAGUUCGGAGUUUCCUUGGCUUAGCGAGCUAUUGCCGCUGCUUCGUCGAGAAUUUCUCCAAGGUUGCUAAACCUCUAACUGAACUCCUCAAGAAAGAUAAAAAGUUCGAGUGGACUCCACAGUGCGAGUUCAGUUUUCAAGAACUGAAAAGACGCCUGACAUCUGCCCCCGUACUGGUACCACCAGAUUUCUCCAAGGACUUUAUUAUCUAUUGCGACGCCUCGCGACAAGGACUAGGUUGCAUACUCAUGAAAGAUCGUCAGGUAAUUGCCUAUGCUUCACGGAAAUUACACCCACAUGAGGAAAAUUAUCCCACACAUGAUCUAGAGCUUGCAGCUGUAGUCCAUGCACUUAAAACUUGGCGACAUUACCUUCUCGGUAAUCAUUGUGAGAUCUUCACCGACCACCAAAGUUUGAAAUAUAUCUUCACCCAACCAGAUUUGAAUCUCAGGCAAAGACGUUGGGUUGAGUUGAUCUCGGAUUACGACUUAGGAAUAACUUACACCCCGGGCAAAGCCAAUGUCAUGGCUGAUGCACUAAGUCGUAAAUCCUAUUGUAACAACCUGAUGUUACAACAAAGUCAACCACUUCUCCAUGAGGAAUUCCGUAAGCUUAAUCUUCACAUUGUUCCUCGAGGAUUCCUAUCCACCCUGGUGGCGAAACCUAACCUUAUGGAUCAGAUCAUAACCGCCCAGCGGUAUGAUAAGGGCAUAUCCCGGAUUAAGGAAAACAUUGCUAGCGGAGUUGCUAAAUGUUUUUCCAUGGAUAAGAGGGGUGUUGUCUUCUUUGAGAACCAUUUGGUGGUUCCCAAGAAACAACAUCUACGCCAAUUGAUCCUUAAGGAAGCUCAUGAAUCCCCUCUCACCAUUCAUCCCGGUAGUACCAAAAUGUAUCAAGACCUAUGCCAGAGGUUUUGGUGGACUAGGAUGAAGAGAGAAAUCGCUCAAUACAUUGCUAAUUAUGACGUUUGUCGUCGUGUUAAAGCAAAGCAUCAACGGCCUGCUGGCACCCUUCAACCUAUGGCUAUUCCUGAAUGGAAAUGGGAUAAAAUCAGUACGGAUUUCAUCACUGGGUUUCCCAGGACCAAGAGAGGGAAUAAUGCCAUCUUCGUUGUGAUCGACCGACUUUCCAAAGUAGCCCACUUCCUACCUGUUCGAGAGAGUAUCACCGCUAGCCAGCUAGCCAAGUUAUACAUCUCCCGAGUAGUGUCUCUUCAUGGUGUUCCAUUGGAAAUUAACUCAGACCGUGGGAGUCUCUUCACCUCUCAAUUUUGGGAAAGUUUCCAAAAUGCUAUGGGAACUCAUCUCUCCUUUAGCACUGCCUUCCAUCCUCAAUCAAGUGGUCAAGUAGAGCGAGUCAAUCGAAUUCUGGAAGAUAUGCUCCGAGCUUCUGUCAUCUCGUUCGGAAUAAGUUGGGAGAAAUGCCUUCCAUUCGCGGAGUUUGCUUAUAACAAUAGUUAUCAAGCCAGCUUAGGCAAGGCUCCUUUUGAAGUUCUCUAUGGACGAAAAUGUUGAACGCCUCUUAACUGGUCAGAAACCGGGGAAAGACAACUCUUUGGCCCGGAUAUGAUUCAGGAAGCAAAAGAGCAGGUUCGCGUUAUUCGUGAGAAAUUGAAAACAGCCCAAUCUCGUCAAAAGAGUCAAUAUGACCGUAAACAUAAGCCUAUGACUUAUGAAGUCGACGAGAAGGCUUAACUUCGGGUUACUCCGUUAAAUGGAACCCAUCGUUUCGGUAUCAAAGGCAAAUUGGCCCCUCGUUACAUCGGACCCUUUCGCAUUCUUGCCAAACGAGGAGAAGUUGCCUACCAAUUGGAACUACCUCUGCAUCUUUCCAGAGUUCACAAUGUCUUCCACGUUUCACAACUCAGGCGUUGCUUCGCGGAUCCUAUCCGUGAAGUGGACCACGAAACGCUUGAUCUACAAGAUAACCUCUCUUAUCGGGAAUAUCCCGUUCGUAUCCUUGAUCAAGCCGAGCGUACCACUCGACGCCAUAAUAUGAAGUUUCUCAAGGUUCAAUGGUCACAUCAUUCCGAGGAAGAAGCCACUUGGGAAAGGGAGGAUCGUCUUCGACUCGAGUACCCCACCUUCUUUCCAGAGGAUCCUAAAUCUCGGGACGAGAUUCUUUUGAGUGGGGGUGAGUUGUCACACCCUAGCUAGUCCAUGCAUUAGAAUGUGCAUCAUGUUUAAAUUUCUCUUAAAUUUGAAAUGGGGAAAGCAGAAACCCCCAACACCCCCCUGGAAAAACUAGGGUUUACUAAAAUUAUUUUCAGUGAACCUGAAAUGCCCUUCUAAAUAGUUCACCCUUUUGUCUUGGGUUAGAACCUCUCGCAAAAUUGGUGCACAAUUUUCUAGGUCAACAGAAGGUCUUUGAAUUAAAUCAUAAGUAUUUGAAUUUGGGCAUUUAAAUGCUAUAAAAUAAUUUAAAUGCUCAAAUAAUUCUGGGAGUAAAUGUUUCCUGUUGGAAAUAUUCUAAACAGAGGCCACAUUUAUUUUCAGGAUUUUUGGAAAUGCUCUAAUAUUUUAAAUAAAGCUAAACAGUUGCAGUUUAAUAGAAAACAGAAACUAAAACAAAAAAAGAGAAAGAAGCCCACCUGGGCCUUACCUGGCUCGGUCCAGCCUACUGGCUCGGUCAGUCACCCCCUACCUCGCGCCAGGAGGCAGGGGCGCGUGCUCGCCGCGCGCCGGCCACGCGCCGGCCACCUCCUGCUUCUGCCGACGCCGGGAGAUGCCCAGAGGAUGCCACGCGACCCCCAUGUCUCCCUCUCAUCCUGGCUCACUCCCCCCCUCGUCUCCCUCUCUCUCUCCCACGAGGGCCGAGCGCGUACCUCGCCGCCGAUCGCCGUAGCUGCCACCAUAGCCACUCCCUCGCCCCUCCGACGAGCCCAUUAGCUCCGCCUCGACUCCCUCGUCCUUCCCACCGAGCCACGCAUCACCGGAGGCCCUGCAUCGCCGCCUUCGCCCUCGUCUUCAACCUCGGGCACCCGAGCCAUCUCCGGUCGAUUCGCUGCCGCCAGGACCUCCCCGAGCCCGCUGACCCCCUCUCCGACUCCGCUGUGAGCUCCUCUUCCUUUCCCCCUAGCUCCCGUGCUCGUUUGGCCCCUGUAGCCGCCGUUUCCACCGCACCCGAGAGCUCCUCGCCGCCGGCCAUGUCACCGUCGUGGCUACGGCCGUGCAAGCACGCGUCCGAGCACACCACCGCAUUCAGUGCGACCCCAGGAGCCUAACGCACGCACUUCCUAGCCCUACCGUGCACCGUACCCCCUUUUCCCUCUCUGCCCGAACUCCGGCCGCCGCCACGAGCUCGAUUCCGGCGAGCUCGCUCCACUCCAGCUCCUCACACUUGCUCCUUUGGAUGCGCGAGAGCCUGGGCUUCGCACGGGUGGUCUCCGCCGUCGAUUUGGUCGCCUGAGGGCGUUUUCCGAAGCCCUCCGCCGUCUCGUCCUCGCCGGCGACUCAACGCCGGUGGGAUUAGCCCUGCUGACCGGUGGUUUGACCACUGACGUGGACUGGGUGGGGCCAGGUUGACUCCUUUGAGUCAAUGACAAGUGGGCCCCCCUCUGCUAAUUAUCUAGAUUAGUUUCUAACUAAAAUUAGUUAGUUUAAUUAGUAUAGUCACUGACUAGUGGGCCCUGCCCAGUAAUUAGGCUAACUAAACGUAGUUAGAGCAGUGAGAGGCUGACAGAAGGGGCCCACCAGUCAGGUUUGACCUGGGCUGGCGCCUUUGACCUGCUGAGGUCAGCAUGACGCAAUGCUGACGCAGUAAUGCAUUUACUGGAAUUAUUUUUAUACAGGAAAUUCUAGAAAAUAGUUCAAACUUCAAAAAUUCAUAGAAAUUCAACCGUAACUCCAAAUGAAAUAAUUUAUAUAUGAAAAAUUAUCAGAAAAAUUCAAUCUAUCCAUCUGUAAUGGUUUCAUGCAUGACAAAAGAAGUUUACAUUGCUGUUUAAGCAGAAUAAGGAAAUGCACUAUCAAGGCCAUGUUUAAUGAGCUAAUAUUUGAAUCUUUGAUUCAAACGAGUUCAUUCCUUUCUGUUAUAACUUGCAUUAGGCCAAGACACAUUCAUAUUGCCAUGUCAUAGAAUGCAUCAUAUUGUUGCAUAUCGUCAUGUGUUGAUUGUGCUCCGAUGUGUUCUUCGUGGUAGGUUCUGCCUCCGAGGAUAUUCACGAGUAUCCAACUAAAGGGCAGUAUCCCACUACCACUCCAUCAGGCAAGCAACCAUUGAUCAUUCCGAUACAAACCCAUGUUCUCGCUUCUGCUCUUGCUUACUACAUUAAGACAAUGCGAUUCAAACUGUUGUGUGCUACGGUAGUUGAACCCUUAUCCUCUGCAUGACCUGUCAUUGCCGCAGUAACUAGAUGAAACCCACUAGCAUGUGUAGGAGUUGAUUGAGCCAUGUAUGUGAUUCCUACCUUGCUAUGCCUGCUAUGCUUAGAGUUGUGUCAGGUCUGGUUCAUUUGGGAGAUGGGCUAGAGUGAAAUGCUUAUGUCCGUAAUGUGAGGGAUGCGUUGAACAUGUUUUGGUAAAGGUAUCGAUGAGAGGCCAUGUAGGAGUACAUGGUGGGUUGUUUCAUUGAGGCCGUCCCUAAGAACUGAGAUCUGUAUGUGUGAUUUAAGAUUCAGCUACUACCAUGCAUUGGGAUCCUUAACUGACCCUCUCGGCUUCUUAAUCACCCUAGUACUCUGUCCAGGAGUUGCAAUUAGUUUCUGGUGUUUGUAGGUUAUGUGUUGGCAGCCGUGCGUAGCGCUGACCCUAGGGGUGGGCUAUGUUGCGGUAGAUACACCGUGGUCGGGUAUGCCGGGCGCCCGUUUGGCGUCUCGGGACCCUGUUCACAUCGUUCGGGGCCGUAUGUGGAAACCUCGGCUGGACUCCCUGCGGAUGGAACCUGUGUAUGAUCGAAAGUAUGUCUAGAGGGGGGUUAUUAGACUACUUGACAAAAUAAAAACUUAACCUUUUCCCAAUUUUAGUCCUUGGCAGAUUUUAGCUAAUUUAGGACAAGUCAAGCAAUCAUCACAUGAUUCAAGCAAGCAUCCAAAGAGUAUAUAGGCAGCGGAAAGUAAAGCAUGCAACUUGCAAGAAUAUAAAGGGAAGGGUUUGGAGAAUUCAAACGCAAUUGGAGACAGGAUGUUUUUCCCGUGGUUCGGAUAGGUGGUGCUAUCCUACAUCCACGUUGAUGUAGACUUCAACCCACGAAGGGUAACGGUUGCGCGAGUCCACACAGGGCUCCACCGACGAAGGGUCCACGAAGAAGCAACCACCCACAAAGGGUCCACGAAGAAGCAACCUUGUCUAUCCCACCAUGGCCAUCGCCCACACAGGACUUGCCUCACUAGCGGUAGAUCUUCACGAAGUAGGCGAUCUCCUUGCCCUUACAAACUCCUUGGUUCAACUCCACAAUCUUGUCGGAGGCUCCCAAGUGACACCUAGCCAAUCUAGGAGACACCACUCUCCAAGAAGUAACAAAUGGUGUGUAGGUAAUGAACUCCUUGCUCUUGUGCUUCAAAUGAUAUUCUCCCCAACACUCAACUCUCUCUCAUAGGAUUUGGAUUUAGUGGAAAGAAGAUUUGAGUGGAAAGCAACUUGGGAAGGCUAGAGAUUAAGAUUCAUAUGGUAGGAAUGGAAUAUCUUGGUCUCAACACAUGAAUAGGUGGUUCUCUCUCAGAACAUAUGAGUUGGAAUGGUGUGUGUGUUCUGAUGGCUCUCUCCCCGAAUGAAGAGGAGGUGGAGGGGUAUAUAUAGCCUCCACACAAAAUCCAACCGUUACACACAGUUUUCCAAUCUUGGUGGGACCGAAUCAACAAACUCGGUCGGACCGAAAAUGUAAACCUAGUGACCGUUAGAGAUUUUCGGUGGGACUGACAUGCAACUCGGUGUGACGGAUAUGGUUAGGCUUUCGGCAUAACAUAAUCUCGGUGAGACCGAUUACACAAACUCGGUGAGACCGAAUUUGGUAAUUAGCUAACCAGAGAGUUGGUCAGGCAAACUCGGUGGGACCGAUUUGCUCUUUCGGUGAGACCGAGUGGAACUCGGUGAGACCGAAAAGUUACAAAGGGGAAACACUGAGUUUACAUUGCAAUCUCGGUGGGACCGAUUCGCUCUUUCGGUGAGACCGAAAAGUUACGAAAGGGAAACAGAGAGUUUGCAAUCCCAUCUCGGUGAGACCGAGAUCCUUAUCGGUAGAACCGAAUUGCUAGGGUUUGGCAGUGGCUAAUGACAAGUGAAACUCGGUGGCGCCGGAUAGGAAGAAUCGGUAGGACCGAGUUUGGCUUAGGGUUUAGGUCAUAUGUGGAUAUGGGAAAGUAGUUGAGGGUUUUGGAGCAUAUCACUAAGCACAUGAAGCAAGAGGCUCAUUAAGCAACACCUCAUCCCUCCUUGAUAGUAUUGGCUUUUCCUAUGGACUCAAUGUGAUCUUGGAUCACUAAAAUAUAAAAUGAAGAGUCUUGAGCUUUUGAGCUUGAGCCAAUCCUUUGUCCUUAGCAUUUUGAGGGUUCCACUUUCACAUCCAUGUCAUGCCAAUCAUUGAGCUUUCCUGAAAUAAUCAUCUUGGAAUAGCAUUAGCUCAAUGAGCUAUAUGUUGUUAUGAAUUACCAAAACCACCUAGGGAUAGUUGCACUUUCAAUCUCCCCAUUUUUGGUAAUUGAUGACAACAUAUAGAUCAAAGCUUCGACAAAUGAUAAUAAGCAUGAAAUAUAUCAUCGCUUUGAGAAGUAUGUGAUAAGUAAGAGCUCCCCCUAAAUUUGUGCAUAUUCAAAAUUUGCUUUGGACUGCAAAUGCACAAGGAGUUAGAGUCAUGGGUUACUCUUCCAUGUCACAUACAUCUUGGUGGAGCGCUUAAAAUGAUAAGAAUGAAAUACAUGCACUCAUCACCAAGAAUAGUGAGUGAUCACAUAAGAUAGAUAAGAUAAUAGCAUUAAGCAAGCAUUAAGUGUAGCUUAUGAUCAAACACAUGAUCAUCAAUGUCUCACAAGCAUAGUAUCUCAAGCACUCAAAAGCAAACAAGUUUGAAAAACCACCAAAUAAAGCAAGAGAGAAAAGCAACACUCUCUCUCUCGAAGCCUAUGAUCUAUACAUCUUCCCCCCCUUUGGCAACAAUUUACCAAAAAGUUCCUAGAAAAUGCAUAGCACUAGAUCGAUGCUCAGGCUUGAUCUUCUGGUGGUGGUGGAGUCCAGAUCACUCCAAGGACGAAGGCUUCGGUAGAUGUUGAAGUAGACGCUGGAGUUGGAGCUGAAGUAGAUGCUGGAGCUGGUGGAACUGAGGCUGUGGCUGGUGCUGAGGUGGCGGCUCUGGUGUCAGCAACUGGCACGGCAGAUGACCUCGGGCCUCGUGGCACUCUGGCAAAGGCAUGAGUGGUAGUCCUGCCUCUCCUCUCCUGCAUGUCCUCCUGGAGCUGCUCCACUGCAGACUGAACUUCCGUUACUUUGACAUCCAAGUCAUAGAACUUCUGUUCCAUGAUUCUCUCUAGGCUCUGCUGAUUUUGAUUGAGGGUGGCCAGACUUUGCUCAAUCCUCAGCAUGGAUGCAAUCAAGUAACCAAGCUACUCUUGUUUGGUCUUCAAGAAGUAUUCAGAUGCCUCCUCUUGAGUUGGCAUCUUGGCAGCUUUCUCCUUCCUCGCCUUCUCCUUCUUUGCGUAAGCUUGUGCAGACGAUGGCUCGUUCUCAGUCAUGACAACUUGAUUGUCCUCAAAAUCUGGACGGAUGGGCAAAUGUUCCUUGUCCAAUAAAUAUAUGCCCGUGCCCAUCUUGGAGUUGAUGAGCUCCUGAAUUUGAGGGGCAUAUCCGCAACUCCUCUUCUGAUCUGCUGCAGUCCUCUUGAUUGUUUCCACUAUGAGGCUCAUCACCUUGAACUUCUGAGGCACAUCAAACACAUGUAGCAAGUUGAUAGCAUGGCCUCUGAUCAUCUUGUGAUCUCCAGACUUGGGCAGUAAGGUGUGCCUUAGUAUCCAAUUGAUCGUAGGCAGACCUGACAGAAGAUAAUGCACUGAGCCAAACUUGAAAGUAUCAAGUGCUUCAUUUGGGAUUUCCUUGUACAUAUUUGACAUUGAUUUGUGGUCCAUCUUCUUCUUGGCAUAUAUGUCCAUGUUGUCAUCAUGCUCCUCUGGGGCAUUAAUCAACUUUGCCCAUUCCUCAACAGUGGAUUGGUACCUCGUACCCUUAGACAUCCAUGUGAUCCUCCCAUCUGGAUAAAAAUGUGACGUGGAGUAGAACUGCAUUAUAAGCUCCUCAUUCCACUUUGUGAGCUUCUGCCCAACAAAGUCAGCUACUCCACAAGCUAUGAAGCUGUCUUGCACUCUAGGAUAGUGCUCUUCGUUGUCCUUGAUAUAUUGCCAAUCAACCCAUCGCAUAUCACAGACAAUGGGCUUCUUAUCUAGCAGCACUGUCUCAUAAAAAUCCUGUUGCUCCUUGGUGUGAAAUCUGUAGUCCACGGCAGUCCUUCUCCUUGAAGCAUACGGGUCUGCUUCUCUCCACUUCCUCAGCCCUGAAUCUCUCCUGAGCUUCAUAUCCUCAGCCACAGGAUGAGCAUCGUUGUGGUCUGGGAUCUUGGGCUUUAGCUUUCUCAGGACAUUCUCUUCCUCUUCUUCUGCAACAGUCUCAGGCACUGGGGCCUUGUUCUUCUCAGCUGCAGGAAUGCUCCUUGUAUUCCUCUUUGGUUUUGGCUUGGAGGCAGCUUUGGGCUUAGAUGCAGUAGCCCCUGACCUUAUGGCAUCACCCAUCAGCUUGGGUGCCUUGGGUGCUGGUGCAGCUACCUCUUCUUCCUCUUCCUCUUCCAUGAUGGAAGCUUUUCCUAGCACGCUGGCUACGGUCUUCUUGACCCUUUCCUUCCUCUUCUUGCCUUAUGCAGCAACUGGCUCUUGGGGAGUGGGCUUCUCAGUUGAGGCUCUUGCCUUUGACAUGGGCUGCCUGCUUGCUGGCCUUUUGAUUUUCAGCCCUGGCUUUGUGCCUUGAGCUGGCUCAACUCUCUUGGAAGUGGCCUCUUCCUCUGUCACAUAGUCCUCAUCUUCGGAAUCUGAAGUCCUCUUCUUCCUCUGUCUCGUGGCUGCCUUUGGCAAGUUGCUAGGGGUGCUCCUGCUGCCCUCAUCUGAAGAACUUGAGGGACUAGUGCCCUCACUCAUGUGCAUCUGCUGCUCUGACAUGUUUUGGCUAUCACUUUGAUCAGACAUGCUGCAAACUGAUUGCUGACCCUGUGAAUAGAUUAUAGAUGAGGUAGAAAGGAUGAGCAUCACAAAAUACAGAGAUUUUUGCAAAAGAAUGAUCCAAAAACUUAGUUUUAGUUUCCCACUGAAAUCAUCUCGGAUCUACCGAUUUUCAAACUCGGUGAUACCGAAGCAGUUUUGGAACCUAAACUAGUGAACUCGGUAGGACCGAGUCACAGUUCGGUGGCACCGAGACUGCUAGGGUUUCACAGAGUUCCAAAAUCGGUCACACCGAUAAGUAAUUCUCCGUCAGACCGAGUCUCACUUGUGCAAUGGCAUAAGCCAAAUCGGUGGGACCGAGUUUUUCAACUCGGUGGGUCGGAGAUGGUUUCGGCGGAGACCUAAACCUAGAAUUUUCGAAUCAAACCUAAUCUAUGAGCGUUUUGACUGGAUAGGAGUGUUUCAAUCGUGGCAAGAAUCAUGAAGAUCACAAUGUGCUAGGAAUCAGAUUGGAGAAUAGCACAAAGAUCAAGUCCAUACCCUAGUUCGCGGGGACUUGCUACGGCGGCAACGGUGGGGCAGAAUUCCCGUUGACGGCGACGGAGACCAGCGACUGGAGGCGGCUGGCGGCGAGAAGAUGAUCCGGAGACCAUGAGGGCAGAGCAGGCUAUCGCGCGGGCGAAGGGGUUCGGAGAAAUUUCCAAAAUUUUGCCCUUGACUAUAUAUAGCCCGACCCUGUCGGUGUGACCGAGUGGAACAACUCAGUGGCACCGAGAUUCAUGACUGCAAGCAGUUACUGAAACUCAGUGUGACCAAAAGGUUCAAAUCGGUUGCACCGAGAUCGAAAACCUAGAUCAACUUAAUGAUCUCGGUAGGACCGAAAGUGGAGUAUCGGUCAGACCGAGAAUCAUAAAGAGGUUUUGGAAGUUUAAGUCUAUGACAAAUCGGGGACUCCGAGCGCUCCUCACACAGAGUCGUUCGAGUCUGACUUGAUCAAAUUUUGUGAUGCAGCAUGAAUAGAGUUUGAGACGAGAAAAGCAUAGAUAGCUAGAGGAGGUUCUUAGGCAUUCUUGUCCAUCCACUUGGCAAAAAGAAAUAAAGCCGAACAAUCAAAACAACAAGUGGAUGUCCUCGAAUGAGUAAAAUAUGCAUCCAGCAUGCUCACACAAUAAGAUGGCAAAUGAAAUAUGUGACAAGGCAUGCACAACCAAUUCUAGCAUCUAUCAAGCAAUUUGCGAUGACUAGGUCAUCUAUAUAUGAGUAUAUUGACUUAGGAGUCAAGUGAGAACACUUGAUCAUAGGUCAUACUCAUCGUUUAAGCUCAAGUGGGGUUACCACUUUUACAUAAAGCAUUGUUGUGUUCACAUCUUUAGAGUUGCUUUAGCUCAAGUCUUAGAGUAAAGCUCCCCCUAGAUGUGAUAUCCCCCCUAAGAGGGAUGAACUAACCUUGGGUUUUGUCGAUGAUGACUUCAUGUAGAUAUUGAAGAUGUGGAUGCUCAAUGUUGAUGUAGAUCUCUUGGAGCUAUCCAUUUGAGUGAAUUGCACUUUCAAUACCUACAUGGGUUAGUCCCACAAGGAACAAACAAGGAUAUCCAUAGACAUAGAGUGAUGCACACACAAGAUGAUGUCCAUGAAAACUUUUAGGUUACCUUGUCCCUUGUCUUACCAACAAGAGGGUUUGUGACUCCUUGAACUAGUGCAAGAUGUGGAAGUUGAUUGCACUUGUUCUUGCCAAAAUGAUAAGAGUGAAGUAUGUUGGUGGAGUCACCCUCGAGAACUCUCUAGUUCUUCUUCUUUUGGAUCCACACCAUCUUGAUGGGAAUCCUUGGAGUUGUAGUCGUACUUGAUGAAGUGGAACUUGAAGUAGUCUUGGGAAUCCACUUGACUAAGGUCUUUGGAGUUUCUUCAAAUGCAUCAAUUUCCUCUUGAAGCUUGUCCUUGCCUUUUUGCUUGUAGUCUUGUGGUGGAAGAUCAUCUUGAGCUUGUGUCCCCUUGAAAGAAGUAUCAUACUUCUCUUGUUGAGGAAUAAACUUUGUCUUGGGGUAUUGAUCUUCUUCCCACUCAACUCCAUUGGCAUUGAACUUUCGUUCAAAACCAACACCUUGAUUCUUUCGGUGCAUUCCUUGCUUGCGCACAAUUUCCUCGAAUUGCUUACUCCCAGUAAGGCUUUUGUACACUCCUUUCUCUAUAAUUCCCUUCAAUAAACUAUUUUCUUGCUCAAGUGUAACUUGGCUAAGAGAAUCAUUAGUGGAAUCAAGAGAACUACUAGAAGCAACAAUAUUGGAUUUAACAUGAUCAUUGUCACUGCUAGAGGAAGAAUCUUUCUUGUUACUAGACUUGACUUGAGGCAUGUAAGUGGAUAAGAGUAAACGCUUGGCAAUGUAAGAAGAACUUUUCUUGCGGAGAUCAUCAUUGAUUGCUUUUAAGAACUCAUGCUCUUGCUCAAGAUUGAGCUUCUCAAAGCGUAAUUUCUCAUGAGCUCUUAAAAGUUCUCGAUGAUCUUCGAAGAUGGUUUCAUGAGCUAACUUAAGAGUGUUUAGUUCUUUAGUUAGGGCCUCAAUCUUCUCCUUAUCAUUGUCAUUCGUUUUAUCUUGAUUAGCAUGUUUAAUUGACAUUUCAUCAUAGUAUUCAUCACUAGAGUUGUCACCAAGCAAAUCAUCACCUAACAAGUCAUCUUCAUCACUAUUGAAAUCAACAUACUCGGGGUGUGUUACCUUAGGACCUUUGGCCAUGAAGCAUCUUCCAAUUCCUUCAUUUGGUGAGUCAAAUAUGUCGUAGGAGUUGGUUGACACAAGUGCUAGACCGGCAACACCUUCAUCUUGAGUAUCUUCGGAGUCAGAGUGAUAACUUCUCUCGGAGUGGCUGUCGGAGUCGGAGCCGGAUACCCAUUCACCAACAUGAGCUUGAUGUCUUCGUUUUGUGUAGCUCCUUGAUGAUUUUUCCUUCCUUUCCGAAUCCUUGCUUCUCCGUGAGUAUCUUCGUUCAUAACGAUCAUCUCUACUCCUUCUCUCUCUUGGUGGUGAUUCUUUGCUUCUUCUUUUUGGAGAAUCUUCUCUUCUCUUGUAGGGAGCCGUACACUCAUUGGAAUAGUGUCCGGGUCUUCCACAACUGUAGCAGUUUCGCUCUUGACUAGAAGAUCUUUUGUCAUUGUAGGACCUUGACUUGAAGCUUCUAUCUUUGCUUCUACUCUUGUAGAACUUGUUGAAGUUCUUCACCAUUAAGCUCAAUUCUUCAUUGAAGUUUUGUUUCUCACUUGAUGAUGUAGGGGCUUCACAUGAGGCUUUGUAGGCACCAGUUGAUUUGUUGUGAAGUUCCUCUUUAUCCUUAAGUGACAUCUCAUGAGCAACAAUUCUUCCAAUCACCUCCGUUGGCUUGAGAUCUUUGUAAUUGGGCAUCAUUUGGAUCAAUGUGCACACGGUAUCAUAUUUUCCAUCCAAGGCUCUUAGAAUCUUCUUGAUGAUGAAUCUAUCGGUCAUCUCUUCACUUCCUAAGCCGGCAAUCUCAUUUGUGAUGAGAGCAAGCCUAGAGUACAUUUCAGCGACACCUUCACCAUCCUUCAUCUUGAACUUGUCAAGUUGGCUUUGAAGCACAUCCAACUUGGAUUCCUUGACGGAGUCGGUACCUUCGUGCAUAUCAAUCAAAGUGUCCCAAAUUUCCUUUGCAUUCUCAAGACGGCUGAUUUUGUUGAAUUCUUCGGGGCACAAUCCAUUGAAGAGAAUAUCACAAGCUUGAGCAUUGUAUUGCAACAUCUUCAACUCAUCCACGGUAGCUUCACGGUUUGGUUCUCUCCCAUCAAAGAAGUCACCUUGCAAACCAACACACAAAAUAGCCCAAACGGCGGGGUUAUGUCCAAGAAUAUGCAUUUUCAUUUUAUGCUUCCAACUAGCAAAAUUAGUACCAUCAAUGUAAGGACCUCUACGGUGAUAAUUUCCCUCGCUAGACGCCAUACUCUCCUAGGUUGUAAAACCAAGGCUAUGACCACCAAAAGCUAUGGAGAUCAAAGCAAAUGGAGACCAAAGCUCUAAUACCACUUGCAGGAUCGAAAGUAUGUCUAGAGGGGGGUGAUUAGACUACUUGACCAAAUAAAAACUUAACCUUUUCCCAAUUUUAGUCGUUGGCAGAUUUUAGCUAAUUUAGGACAAGUCAAGCAAUCAUCACAUGAUUCAAGCAAGCAUGCAAAGAGUAUAUAGGCAGCGGAAAGUAAAGCAUGCAACUUGCAAGAAUGUAAAGGGAAGGGUUUGGAGAAUUCAAACGCAAUUGGAGACACGGAUGUUUUUCCGGUGGUUCAGAUAGGUGGUGCUAUCCUACAUCCACGUUGAUGGAGACUUCAACCCACGAAGGGUAACGGUUGCGCGAGUCCACACAGGGCUCCACCCAAGGGUAACGGUUGCGCGAGUCCACACAGGGCUCCACCCACGAAGGGUCCAUGAAGAAGCAACCACCCACAAAGGGUCCACGAAGAAGCAACCUUGUCUAUCCCACCAUGGCCAUCGCCCACACAGGACUUGCCUCACUAGCGGUAGAUCUUCACGAAGUAGGCGAUCUCCUUGCCCUUACAAACUCCUUGGUUCAACUCCACAAUCUUGUCGGAGGCUCCCAAGUGACACCUAGCCAAUCUAGGAGACACCACUCUCCAAGAAGUAACAAAUGGUGUGUAGGUAAUGAACUCCUUGCUCUUGUGCUUCAAAUGAUAGUCUCCCCAACACUCAACUCUCUCUCAUAGGAUUUGGAUUUAGUGGAAAGAAGAUUUGAGUGGAAAGCAACUUGGGAAGGCUAGAGAUCAAGAUUCAUAUGGUAGGAAUGGAAUAUCUUGGUCUCAACACAUGAGUAGGUGGUUCUCUCUCAGAACAUAUUAGUUGGAAUGGUGUGUGUGUUCUGAUGGCUCUCUCCCCGAAUGAAGAGGAGGUGGAGGGGUAUAUAUAGCCUCCACACAAAAUCCAACCGUUACACACAGUUUUCCAAUCUCGGUGGGACCGAAUCAACAAACUCGGUCGGACCGAAAAUGUAAACCUAGUGACCAUUAGAGAUUUUCGGUGGGACUGACAUGCAACUCGGUGUGACCGAUAUGGUUAGGGUUUGGGCAUAACAUAAUCUCGGUGAGACCGAUUACACAAACUCGGUGAGACCGAAUUUGGUAAUUAGCUAACCAGAGAUUUGGUCAGGCAAACUCGGUGGGACCGAUUUGCUCUUUCGGUGAGACCGAGUGGAACUCGGUGACACCGAAAAGUUACAAAGGGGAAACACUGAGUUUACAUUGCAAUCUCGGUGGGACCGAUUCGCUCUUUCGGUGAGACCGAAAAGUUACGAAAGGGAAACAGAGAGUUUGUAAUCCCAUCUCGGUGAGACCGAGAUCCUUAUCGGUAGAACCGAAUUGCUAGGGUUUGGCAGUGGCUAAUGACAAGUGAAACUUGGUGGCGCCGGAUAGGAAGAAUCGGUAGGACCGAGUUUGGCUUAGGGUUUAGGUCAUAUGUGGAUAUGGGAAAGUAGUUGAGGGUUUUGGAGCAUAUCACUAACCACAUGAAGCAAGAGGCUCAUUAAGCAACACCUCAUCCCUCCUUGAUAGUAUUGGCUUUUCCUAUGGACUCGAUGUGAUCUUGGAUCACUAAAAUAUAAAAUGAAGAGUCUUGAGCUUUUGAGCUUGAGCCAAUCCUUUGUCCUUAGCAUUUUGAGGGUUCCACUUUCACAUCCAUGCCAUGCCAAUCAUUGAGCUUUCCUGAAAUAAUCAUCUUGGAAUAGCAUUAGCUCAAUGAGCUAUAUGUUGUUAUGAAUUACCAAAACCACCUAGGGAUAGUUGCACUUUCAACCUAGAUAGGCGAUAAACCUGGACUAGAGACUUAAGUGUUUAGGUAGGCCGUGGCCGACACCCUCGCUGGGCUUCCGCUUGAAGGUUGCCGAGUACAUGUCGUGUAAACGGAGAUAAGUGGUGAAAGCGUGUAUGACGAAGUACACCCCUGCAGGGUAUAAACUAUUCGAAUAGCCGCGUCCGUGGUAAAGGACUACUUGGUUGCCUAUACAGUUCAUAGACAAGUUAAUGGAUACUACUAAAAGACUCAAGAUAAGUGUGAGUACCGAGGAUGGCCCUCUCGUAGGAUGACGAGGGAGGAUCCCCGGUGGAGUAUUGUGUUGGUGAGUAGUGGACUCGUGUGCGAAAACUAUUUACUGGUGGAGUUCCGUAGGAUAGCUUAGCCAAGAGUCAAAGCUGGCUUGCUGCAUCAACCCCACCGCCUUCUUGAAAAUAAGCAUGUAUAGUAGGUUCUGAUGUAAGACUUGCUGAGUACCUUUGUACUCAUGUUUUCUUAAUUACUGUUUCAGACGACACCGCCCACUCCGAUGGGUUCUACGUAGACCUUGACAUCGACGAGUGACUAGCCACCCAGGUGGUGAUCCUGGCCAUGGAGGGCUUUAUGUAGAUAGACAGGCUUCGAGAAGCCUUCUUUCUUUCUAGAGUCUGUACUCAGACUAGUUGCUUCCGCAUGUGCUUAUAUGUUUGUAUGACUUGAGUGUCGGGUCAUGUGACCCCUAUCUGUAUGAACAUGUUAUGUAUGGCUCUCUGGAGCCUUUAGAUAAAGUACUUGAGUUGUAGAGUUUUGUUGUGAUGCCAUGUUGUAUGUACUCAUAUCGGGCAUAUUGUGUGUAUGAUUGAAAUGCUUGGUAUGAGUGGGAUCCGACAAUCUAGUUGUUUAUCCUUGGCAGCCUUUCUUAUGGGGAAAUGUAGUCUAGUGUUCCUCGAGCCAUAGUAAUCCGCUACAGCCCGGUUCACCGGAGUCCUGCUAGCCCAGCACUACUGUUCAGGACACUUGACUGGCCGGCAUGUGUUUCACUUCGUCCCUAUGUCUGUCCCUUCGGGGAAAUGUCACAUGGUGACUUCCGGAGUCCUGCCUAGCCUGCUACAGCCCGGGGUUCCCCGGAGUCCUGUCAGCCCAGUGCUACAGCCCAGAAUCACUCGUUGAUGACCGACAUGUUCGAUGUGAUUCAUGUAUGUCUGUCUCCAUAGGUCUGUGCCGCUUUGGGUUCACGACUAGCCAUGUCGGCCCGGGUUCUCUGUCAUAUGGAUGCUAGCGACACUAUCAUAUACGUGAGCCAAAAGGCACAAACGGUCCCGGGCCAUGGUAAGGCGACACCCGUGGGAUACCGUGCGUGAGGCCGCAAAGUGAUAUGAGGUGUUACCGGCUAGAUCGAUGUGACUUGGAAUUGGGGUCCUAAUAGUGUGCAUCCAACUCGCCUGGUCACGAAGACCUAGGGCAUUUGUGGAAGCCCAUCAUUGGAAUAUAAAAGCCAAGUUCUAUAAUGAAAAAUUCCCACUAGUAUAUGAAAGUGACAAAAUAAGGGACUCUCUAUUAUGAAGAUCAUGGUGCUACUUUGAAGCACAAGUGUGGAAAAAGGAUAGUAACAUUGUCCCUUCUCUCUUUUUCUCUCUCUCUUUUAUUUUUUUAUUUGGGCCUUCUUUCUUUUUUUUGCCUCUUUUCUCUUCUUUUUUUUCGUCCAGAGUCCCAUCCAGACUUGUGGGGGAAUCAUAGUCUCCAUCAUCCUUUCCUCACUAGGACAAUGCUCUAGUAAUGAUGAUUAUCACACUUUUAUUUUCUUACAACUCAAGAAUUACAACUCGAUACUUAGAACAAAAUAUGACUCUAUGUGAAUGCCUCCGGUGGUGUACCGGGAUUGCGAUGAAUCAAGAGUGACAUGUAUGAAAAAAUUAUGAACGGUGGCUUUGCCACAAAUACGAUGUCAACUACAUGAUCAUGCAAAGCAAUAUGACAAUGAUGAUGCGUGUAAUAAUAAAUGGAAUGGUGGAAAGUUUCAUGGCAAUAUAUCUCGGAGUGGCUAUGGAAAUGGCAUAAUAGGUAUGUAUGGUGGCUCUUUUGAGGAAGAUAUAAGCAGGCUUAUGUUUGAUAGAGCGUAUCAUAUCACGGGGUUUGGAUGCACCGGUGAAGUUUGCACCAACUCUCAAGGUGAGAAAGGGCAAUGCACGGUACCGAAGAGGCUAGCAAUGAUGGAAGGGUGAGAGUGCGUAUAAUCCAUGGACUCAACAUUAGUCAUAAAGAACUCACAUACUUGUUGCAAAAAUCUACUUGUCAUCAAAACCAAGCACUACGCGCAUGCUCCUAGGGGGAUAGAUUGGUAGGAAAAGACCAUCGCCCGUCCCCGAUCGCCACUCAUAAGGAAAGCAAUCAAAGAACACCCCAUGCUUCAAAUUUGUCACAUAACAUUCACCAUACGUGCAUGCUACGGGACUUCCCAACUUCAACACAAGUAUUCAUCAAUUUCACAUUUACUCAACUAGCAUACUUCUAAUAUUACCACCUUUAUAUCUCAAGACCAUCUAUCAAGCAUCCAACUUCUCUUAGCAUUUAAAAUUUAUAACCAAAGUGAAUUACCAUGCUGUUCUAAAGGACUCUCAAAAUGAUAUAAGUGAAGCAUGAGAGAUCAAUUAUUUCUAUAAAAUAGAACCACCGCCGUGCUCUAAAAGAUAUAAGCAAAGCACUAGAGCAAAAACUAUACAACUCAAAAGAUAUAAGUGAAGCACAUAGAGUAUUGUAAUAAAUUCCAAUUCAUGUGUGUCUCUCCCAAAAGGUGUGUACAGAAAGGAUUAUUGUGGUAAACUAAAAAGCAAAGACUCAAAUUAUACAAGACGCUCCAAGCAAAACACAUAUCAUGUGGCAAAUAAAAAUAUAGCUCCAAGUAAAGUUACCGAUGGACGAAGACGAAAGAGGGGAUGCCUUCCGGGGCAUCCCCAAGCUUAGGCUUUUGGUUGUCCUCAGAUUUUACCUUGGGGUGCCUUGGGAAUCCCCAAUCUUAGGCUCUUUUCACUCCUUGUUCCAUAAUCCAUCAAAUCUUUACCCAAAACUUGAAAACUUCCCAACACAAAACUUAAAAGAAAAUCUUCGUGUGCUCCGUUAGUAAAAGAAAGCAAACCACCACAUCAAGGUACUGUAAUGAAAUCAUUCUUUAUUUAUAUUGGUGUUAAACCUACUGUAUUCAAACUUUUCUAUGGUUCAUAAACUCUAUUACUAGCCAUAGAUUUAUCAAAAUAAGCAAACAACACACGAAAAACAGAAUCUGUCAAAAACAGAACAGUCUGUAGUAAUAUGUAGGUUUCGAAUACUUAUGGAACCCCAAAAAUUCUAAAAUAAGUUUCUGGACGUGAGUAAUUUAUCUAUUAAUCAUAUUCAAAAAGAAUUAACUAAAUAUAACUCUCCAAUAAAAAAUGGCAGCAAUUCUCGUGAGCGCUAAAGUUUCUGUUUUUACAGUAAGAUCAAAAAGACUUUCCCCAAGUCUUCCCAAUGGUUCUACUUGGCAUAAACACUAAUUAAACACAAAACACACAACCAAAACAGAGGCUAGAUAAAUUAUUUAUUACUAAACAGGAGCAAAAGCAAGGAAUAAAAAUAAAAUUGGGUUGCCUCUCAACAAGCGCUAUCGUUUAACGCUCCUAGCUAGGCAUAAAAGCGAGGAUAGAUCUAGGUAUUGCCAUCUUUGGUAGGCAAUCCAUAGGUGGCUCUCAUAAUAGAUUCAUAUGGUAAUUUAAUUUUCUUUCUAGGGAAGUGUUCCAUGCCUUUCCUUAACAUAAAUUGGAAUCUAAUAUUCCCUUCCUUCAUAUCAAUAAUUGCACCAAUUGUUCUAAGGAAAGGUCUACCAAGAAUAAUAGGACAUGAAGGAUUGCAAUCUAUAUAAAGAACAAUGAAAUCUACGGGCACAUACUUCCUAUUUGCAACAAUAAGAACAUCAUUAAUUUUUCCCAUAUGUUUCUUAAUGGUGGAAUCCGCAAGGUGCAUGUUUAAAGAACAAUUAUCAAAUUGACGGAAACCUAGCAAAUCACACAAAGCUUUUGGGAUCGUGGAAACACUAGCACCCAAAUCACACAAAGCAUAGCAUUCAUGAUCUUUAAUUUUUAUUUUAAUUGUAGGUUCCCACUCAUCAUAAAGUUUUCUAAGGAUAGAAACUUCCAACUCAAGUUUUUCUUCAUAAGAUUGCAUCAAAGCAUCAACGAUAUGUUUAGUAAAAGCUUUAUUUUAACUAUAAGCAUGAGGAGAAUUUAGCACAGAUUACAACAAGGAAAUACAAUCUAUCAAAGAGGAAUUAUCAUAAUGAAAUUCCUUGAAAUCCAAGAUAGUGGGUUUGUUGCUAUCUAAAGUUUUAACCUCUCCAAUCCCACUUUUAUCAAUCUUUGCAUCAAGAUCUAAAAACUACGAAUCAUUGGGACGCCUUCUAACUAAGGUUGACUCGUAUCCAGUCCCAUCAUUAUCAUGAUUCAUAUUGAAAAACAAAGAUUUAAUAGGGGACACAUCAAUAACUUUUAGAUCUUCAUCCUUAUUAACAUGAAAACUAGAAGAACACGCUUUUAUGAAGCAAUCUUUCUUACCAUGCAUCCUAGCGGUUCUUUCUUUGCACUCAUCAAUGGAAAUUCUCAUGGAUUUGAGAGACUCAUUGAUAUCAUGCUUAGGUGGAAUAGAUCUAAGUUUCAAAUAAUCAACAUCAAGAGAAAUUCUAUCCACGUUCCUAGCGAACUCAUCAAUCUUAAGCAUUUUUUCUUCAAUCAAAGCAUUGGAACUCUUUGCCGAACUAAUAAAUUCUUUAAUACUAGAUUCAAAAUCAGAGGGCAUCUUAUUAUAAUUUCCAUAAGAAUUAUUGUAGGAAUUACCAUAAUUAUUAGAGGAAUUACUAGGAAAUGACUUAGAAUUAAAAUUACCUCUAUGCGUGUUGUUACCAAAAUUGUUCCUACCAACAAAAUUCACAUCCAUAGAUUCAUUAUUAUUCGAAAUCAAUGUAGACAAAGGCAUAUCAUUAGGAUCAGUAGGAGCAAUCUUAUUAGCAAACAAUUUCAGAAGUUCAUCCAUCUUUCCACUCAAAACAUUAAUCUCUUCAAUUGCAUGCACCUUUUUACUAGUAGAUCUUUCAGUGUGCCAUUGAGAAUAAUUAACCAUAAUAUUAUCUAGGAUUUUGGUAGCUUCUCAUAAAGUGAUUUCCAUAAAAGUGCCUCCUGCGGCCGAAUCUAAAAGAUUUCUAGAAGCAAAGUUCAAUCCGGCAUAAAAAACGUGUAUAAUCAUCCAUAAAUUCAAACCAUGUGUAGGGCAAAUACGUAUCACUAAUUUCAUCCUCUCCCAAGAUUGUGCAACAUGAUCAUGAUCAAGUUGCUUAAAAUUCAUAAUAUCGUCUCUAAGAGAGAUGAUCUUAGCAGGAUGAAAACACUUAUAGAUAAAAGCAUCUUUGCACUUAUUCCAUGAAUCAAUACUAUUUUUAGGCAAAGAUGAAAACCAAGCUUUAGCACAAUCUCUAAGCAAAAAUGGAAAUAGCUUAAGUUAAACAAUAUCAUUAUCCAAAUCUUUCUUCUUUUGCAUAUAACACAAAUCAACAAAGUUGUUUAGAUGGGUAGCGGCUUCUUCACUAGGAAGGCCAGAAAACGGAUCUUUCAUGACAAGAUUCAGCAAGAUUCAGCAUCGGUAAGAGGAGCAAUCGGAGUGGUAAUAAAAUCAUUAUUGUUGGUAUUGGCAAAGACACACAAUUUAGUAUUAUCUUGAGCCAUUGUGACAAGCAAGCAAUCCAACACACAAGCAAACAAGAAAUAGGCAAAAGAGGCAAACUGGAAAAGAGAAGGGGAACGGAAAAAGAGGGCGAAUAAAACGGCAAGGGUGAAGUGUGGGAGAGGAAAACGAGAGGCAACUGGGCAAAUAAUGUAAUCUGAAGGGUAAGAGUUGUGAUAGGUAAUUGGUAUGUCUUGACUUGGCGUAGAUCUCCCCGGCAACAGCGCCAGAAAUCCUUCUUGCUACCUCUUGAGCACUGCAUUGGUUUUCCCUUGAAGAGGAAAGGGUGAUGCAGUAAAGCAGUGUAAGUAUUUCCCUCAGUUUUUGAGAACCAAGGUAUCAAUCCAGUAGGAGACCAUGCGCGAGUCUCCUUGUACCUACACAAACAAAUAAGAACCUUGCAACCAAUGCGAUAAAGGGGUUGUUAAUCCCUUCACGGCCACUUGCAAUAGUGAGAUCUAAAAGAGAUAAUAAUAAUAAGAUAAUUUUUUUGGGUAUUUUUAUGAUAUAGAUUGAAAGUAAAGAUUGCAAAAUAAAAUAGAUUGGAAACUUGUAUGAUGGAGAAUAGACCCGGGGGCCAUAGGUUUCAGUAGUGGCUUCUCUCAAGAUAGCAUAAGUAUUACUGUCGAGCAAUUGAUAGAAAAGCGAAUAAUAUGAGAAUAUCUAGGUAUGAUCAUGUAUAUAGGCAUCACGUCCGUGACAAGUAGACCGACUCCUGCCUGCAUCUACUACUAUUACUCCACACAUCGACCGCUAUCCACCAUGCAGCUAGAGUAAUAAGUUCAUAAGAACAGAGUAACGCAUUAAGCAAGAUGACAUGAUGUAGAGGGAUAAACUCAUGCAAUAUGAUAUAAACCCCAUCUUUUUAUCCUCAAUGACAACAAUACAAUACGUGUCGUUUCCCUUUUUGUCACUGGGAUCGAGCACCGCAAGAUUGAACCCAAAGCUAAGCACUUCUCCCAUUGCAAGAAAGAUCAAUCUGGUAGGCCAAACCAAAUUGAUAAUUCGAAGAGACUUGCAAAGAUAAACCAAUCAUACAUAAAAUAAUUCAGAGAAGAUUCAAAUAUUGUUCAUAGAUAGACUUGAUCAUAAACCCACAAAUCCGCUGAUCCCGACAAACACACCGCAAAAGAAGAUUACAUCGAAUAGAUCUCCAAGAGAAUCGAGGAGAACUUUGUAUUGAGAUCCAAAGAGAGAGAAGAAGCCAUCUAGAUACUAGCUAUGGACCCGAAGGUCUGAGGUAAACUACUCACACAUCAUCCGAGGGGCCAUGGAGUUGAUGUAGAGGCCCUCCGUGAUCAAUGCCCCCUCCGACGGAGCUCCGGAAAAAGCCCCAAGAUGGGAUCUCUUGGGUACAGAAGGUUGCGGCGGUGGAAAUAGGGUUUCAUGGUGCUCCUGGAUGUUUGCGGGUAUAUGAAUAUAUAUAUAUAUAUAUAUAUAUAUAUAUAUAUAUAUAUAUAUAUAUAUAUAUAUAUAUAUAUAGGAGGAAGAAGAAGGUCGGUGGAGCAACGAGGGGCCCACGAGGGGGGAGGGCGCGCCCCCUGCCUCGUCGCCGCCUCGUUGAUUUCUUGACGUCCACUCCAAGUCCUCUGGAUCACGUUUGUUCCAAAAAUCACGUUCCCGAAGGUUUCAUUCUGUUUGGACUCUGUUUGAUAUUCCUUUUCUGCAAAACACUGAAAUAGGCAAAAAAGCAGCAAUAUGGGUUGGGCCUCCGGUUAAUAGGUUAGUCCCAAAAAUAAUAUAAAAGUGUAAAAUAAAGCCCAUUAACAUCCACAACAGAUAAUAUAAUAGCAUGGAACAAUCACAAAUUAUAGAUACGUUGGAGACGUAUCAGGGGGGCACGCCCAGGGGGGGUGGGCGCACUCCGCACCCUCGUGGACAGGGUGUGGGCCCCCUUGCAUUGAUUCUUUCGCCAGUAUUUUUUAUAUAUUCCAAAAAUAUUCUCCGUUGAUUUUCAGGUCAUUCCGAGAACUUUUAUUUCUGCACAAAAAUAUCACCAUGGCAAUUAUGUUGAAAACAACGUCAGUCCGGGUUAGUUCCAUUCAAAUCAUUCAAGUUAGAGUCCAAAAAAAGGGAGAAAGUGUUUGAAAAAGUAGAUAUGUUGGAGACAUAUCACUCCUCACGACAACACGGUUGGGAUUGGCCUUUUCGGUUAUGAAGAAGCAUUGUGUCACGUGCUUAGUGUGUACCCAUGGCUCAUUUUUGGCGAUGACGUUAACGUUCAUGGGAGUGCUCUUCGCGUCGGGUAUAGACAUGGUGGUGAAAUAAUUGUUUUCUCUUACAAUGUCCUUGGCCCAUCUGACACAGAACAUUGUCGCAUCAUGCAUUCCAGCAUAGUCAAGCUCCCAGAUCUCUUCGACCCUUCCGUAGAAUCUUUCAAUUGUGUCGUUGGCAUCGGUCACACAUUGAAUUGACACCCCGGAGUUCUGGUAAUCACUGUCCAUGUGUUUGGCCUCCGUGCACAACAUGUACCCAUUGAUAUCGUUGGACUGAUAGGUCGCGAGCUUGCGCACGGGGCCAUGUGCUAAGGCGUGUAUGAGCAAUCCGUCCGAACUGCCCUCUUUCGGGGGAUUUUCAAGAACUUGCUCUUUAAACCAAUGCAAGAAAGUGGCGUUGUGCUCUACAGUAACUUCGUCGUCCGUAUUGAGCAUCCCCUUAUCACGACACUUCUUUGCGAUGGUUUCUUUGUGUUGUGCCACAUAAUCAUCUACCACAUCUAGGUGUUGUGGCACUACUAAGUUAGCCCUGUCAAAGUCGUUCUGUCCAUCCGAGUAGCCCAUGUGCAAUUCUCUCCCGUCGUUGUUGUGACCAUCUCCUUCGAGCUUCCCAUCGUGCUUCUUGACGGGCAAACCAACAACAGGGUCUUCGACGCUUAUAUAAUUCUCGCAAAAGGAGACGCACUCAUGCAUCAGAUACCCUUGGACAAUGCUCCCUUCGGGACGGGACAUGUUACGAAUGAAUCCUUUGAUGACCCCAUUCAUCCACUCGAACGGCAUCAUGUUGUGAAGGAAUGUCGGUCUGAGGUCGAUGAUGUCGUCCACGAUGUGGACACACAGAUGCACCAUGACGUCAUAGAACGCGGGCGGGAAGUACAUCUCAAGCUCACAUAGUAUGACAACAAUCUCUUCCUGUAGCCUUUGGAGCUGCUUCACACUUAUGGACUAUCGAGAUAUAAGGUCGAAGAAGUUGCAGAGACCAGUAAGCAUGUCAUGGACGUGCUUGUCCAUUAUCCCUCUAAUGGCAACCGGUAGUAUCUGCGUCAUCAUCACGUGACAGUCAUGAGACUUCAUCCCGCUGAUCCUUUUCUUCUUGGGGUCUAGAAAUCUGCUUAUCUUCCCACAGUAACCGGAACUGACUUUGAUUCCCAUAGGGCACUUGAUGAAUUGAUCGAUCUCCUUCACACUUAAGGUGAAGCAAGAAGGGGGAAAUAAUUCUCCUCGUUCUUGUUGACUUUUCUGCCCCUUUCCCCCUCCUCCAUCUCUAUCUCCGUCCCCUCCAUCAACUUUUUACGGUGGAGAUCUUUCCUGAUCUUCAAUUCUUCCAAGUCUUUCCUUGCCUUCGUCCCAUCCUUGGUCUUCUCCGGCAUGUUCAUCAGUGUGCCAAGAAAGCUCUUGAGGACAUUCUUCGUGAUAUGCAUUUGAUCAAGGCAACGAGGCGUGUCGUGAUUGGGCCAGAACUCCAAGUCCUAGAAAACAGACCUCGUUUUCCAUACCUUCAGCAGCUGCUCCGGCGCCUUUUUGAUCUUUCCCGGCGCAGGGCAUUGUUCCCAGUUUCUCAAUAGCUCAUUGAUUUCGGCGCUGCUCCUCUUACGUGGAGGUCCUCGAAGCUGAGCCAACCCAUUGAAUAGUUCUCCAUGCUUUCUCCACGGGUCAUCCUUCUCGAUCCAUCUAUGAUGUCCCAUGUAUAUGAUUUUCCCGGACCCGCCAUCUUUCAUUGAAGUAAGCUGCUGAGACGUUGUAUCAUCCAUGCACCUCGUAACCGAGAUAGUCAUGCACCAUCAUCAUCAGCGCGACUCUCAUAUGGAAAUAUUCUCCUUUGCUGGCGGCCCAUGUCCAUGCCGGUGUUUUCCAUAACGUGUCUAGCUCCUCUUGCAGAAGCCCCAUAUACAGGUUAAUACUAUUUCCCGGUUGUUUCGGCCCUUGAAUCAGCAUGCUCAUGUCUAUGUACUUUGUCUUCAUGCACUUCCAUGGGGGAGGUUGUACAUCCAUACAAACACGGGCCAUGUGCUCUGGUUCGUGUUCUGGUUUCCAAACGGAUUCAUGCCAUCGGUACUCGCACCAAGCACGAUGUUCCUUGGAUCUUCUGCAGCAAAUCCAUAUAUGGCGUUGAAUGCUCUCCACUGGCUACCAUCUAUGAGGUGUCUCAGCCUCGGAUCAUCUCCAUCAUCAGGUUUCUUCCUCUCCGUGCGCCAGCGCUUGAGCUUUGCUUCCUUAGGAUCUACAAAAUACCGCUGCAGACGGGGAGUGAUCGGAAAGUACCGUACAACUUUCUGAGGAGGUUUCUUUCUUGCCUUCUUGUAUCGAGAAGCAUUGCACACUGGACAGCUGGUUUUUUCCGUGUGCUCACCCCGAUAAAUGACGCAACCGUCGAUGCAUGCGUGGUACCUAAUGUGCGGCAAAUUAAAAGGGCAAACGAUUUUCUUGGCCUCCUCGACACUAGUAGGACACAGGUUCCCCGUGGGAAGAACUUUAUUAUGUAGAUAUUUCAAAUGCUCAUUGAGGCUUUUAUCUGUCCAUUUGUUUUUGGCCUUCAUCUUUAGAAGUUCGAGCAUGAAACUCAAGCGGGUCACCUCAGGAUCGCAACCGUCAUACAAUGGAGUCCUCGAGUCUACUUCAAGUUGCGCCAGCUUGGCCUCCUCUCUAGAAGCAGCUCUCUCGCUAGUCGCACUCUUGCGAAGGAGGUCUUGAACAUGAGGGUCCUGCACGAUUGCACUUAUUAGCAUCGAAGACUGCGGCGUGACCGCCGCCUCUACUCCGCCAUGUCUGGACUCUUCUUCGUCGUGUCUGGAAUCUUCUCCGAUGCCGUCAUUUCCGAACUCUUUCCCGCCGACAUGUCCGGCGCCAUCAUCUUCAUGUCGAUCGGUCAUCUCUUCGUCUGGCCCCAUGUCGUUAUUCCCUGCCAUGUGGACGUCCUCAUCAUCAUCUUAUUCACUUAGCCACUGAGUAUAGCCAUCCAUGAAACCAUUCAUCAGCAGGUGCGCCUUCAAAGUGCCAUGAUCAAAAGGGUCCAAAAGGACUCCUUCCUAGCAUCUUGCACACGAACAUCUAAUCCUAGUCCGAUUAUUGGCAUACAUGUCCAUCACCGCGGAUUGCAUGUACCGCUCCACCUUCCAUCCACUCGCCUUCAUGACCGACUGCACGNNNNNNNNNNNNNNNNNNNNNNNNNNNNNNNNNNNNNNNNNNNNNNNNNNNNNNNNNNNNNNNNNNNNNNNNNNNNNNNNNNNNNNNNNNNNNNNNNNNNNNNNNNNNNNNNNNNNNNNNNNNNNNNNNNNNNNNNNNNNNNNNNNNNNNNNNNNNNNNNNNNNNNNNNNNNNNNNNNNNNNNNNNNNNNNNNNNNNNNNNNNNNNNNNNNNNNNNNNNNNNNNNNNNNNNNNNNNNNNNNNNNNNNNNNNNNNNNNNNNNNNNNNNNNNNNNNNNNNNNNNNNNNNNNNNNNNNNNNNNNNNNNNNNNNNNNNNNNNNNNNNNNNNNNNNNNNNNNNNNNNNNNNNNNNNNNNNNNNNNNNNNNNNNNNNNNNNNNNNNNNNNNNNNNNNNNNNNNNNNNNNNNNNNNNNNNNNNNNNNNNNNNNNNNNNNNNNNNNNNNNNNNNNNNNNNNNNNNNNNNNNNNNNNNNNNNNNNNNNNNNNNNNNNNNNNNNNNNNNNNNNNNNNNNNNNNNNNNNNNNNNNNNNNNNNNNNNNNNNNNNNNNNNNNNNNNNNNNNNNNNNNNNNNNNNNNNNNNNNNNNNNNNNNNNNNNNNNNNNNNNNNNNNNNNNNNNNNNNNNNNNNNNNNNNNNNNNNNNNNNNNNNNNNNNNNNNNNNNNNNNNNNNNNNNNNNNNNNNNNNNNNNNNNNNNNNNNNNNNNNNNNNNNNNNNNNNNNNNNNNNNNNNNNNNNNNNNNNNNNNNNNNNNNNNNNNNNNNNNNNNNNNNNNNNNNNNNNNNNNNNNNNNNNNNNNNNNNNNNNNNNNNNNNNNNNNNNNNNNNNNNNNNNNNNNNNNNNNNNNNNNNNNNNNNNNNNNNNNNNNNNNNNNNNNNNNNNNNNNNNNNNNNNNNNNNNNNNNNNNNNNNNNNNNNNNNNNNNNNNNNNNNNNNNNNNNNNNNNNNNNNNNNNNNNNNNNNNNNNNNNNNNNNNNNNNNNNNNNNNNNNNNNNNNNNNNNNNNNNNNNNNNNNNNNNNNNNNNNNNNNNNNNNNNNNNNNNNNNNNNNNNNNNNNNNNNNNNNNNNNNNNNNNNNNNNNNNNNNNNNNNNNNNNNNNNNNNNNNNNNNNNNNNNNNNNNNNNNNNNNNNNNNNNNNNNNNNNNNNNNNNNNNNNNNNNNNNNNNNNNNNNNNNNNNNNNNNNNNNNNNNNNNNNNNNNNNNNNNNNNNNNNNNNNNNNNNNNNNNNNNNNNNNNNNNNNNNNNNNNNNNNNNNNNNNNNNNNNNNNNNNNNNNNNNNNNNNNNNNNNNNNNNNNNNNNNNNNNNNNNNNNNNNNNNNNNNNNNNNNNNNNNNNNNNNNNNNNNNNNNNNNNNNNNNNNNNNNNNNNNNNNNNNNNNNNNNNNNNNNNNNNNNNNNNNNNNNNNNNNNNNNNNNNNNNNNNNNNNNNNNNNNNNNNNNNNNNNNNNNNNNNNNNNNNNNNNNNNNNNNNNNNNNNNNNNNNNNNNNNNNNNNNNNNNNNNNNNNNNNNNNNNNNNNNNNNNNNNNNNNNNNNNNNNNNNNNNNNNNNNNNNNNNNNNNNNNNNNNNNNNNNNNNNNNNNNNNNNNNNNNNNNNNNNNNNNNNNNNNNNNNNNNNNNNNNNNNNNNNNNNNNNNNNNNNNNNNNNNNNNNNNNNNNNNNNNNNNNNNNNNNNNNNNNNNNNNNNNNNNNNNNNNNNNNNNNNNNNNNNNNNNNNNNNNNNNNNNNNNNNNNNNNNNNNNNNNNNNNNNNNNNNNNNNNNNNNNNNNNNNNNNNNNNNNNNNNNNNNNNNNNNNNNNNNNNNNNNNNNNNNNNNNNNNNNNNNNNNNNNNNNNNNNNNNNNNNNNNNNNNNNNNNNNNNNNNNNNNNNNNNNNNNNNNNNNNNNNNNNNNNNNNNNNNNNNNNNNNNNNNNNNNNNNNNNNNNNNNNNNNNNNNNNNNNNNNNNNNNNNNNNNNNNNNNNNNNNNNNNNNNNNNNNNNNNNNNNNNNNNNNNNNNNNNNNNNNNNNNNNNNNNNNNNNNNNNNNCAUAUUCUCAUUCACACACAUAUUCCCAUUCUUGAAAUGAACAACUUUUUACUCACCUAUAUAUAUAGCAUUAUUCUGAUCCCAGGAUCAGAAUAGUUAUUUGGAUCACGAUCGGCUAUAAGGGCCCGACAGUAGAUCGUGAGGAACCCACCAGAUCCCGAUCGGUACAAGGGAAAAAACACCACCCACCCGCUCCCCACAGCCCACUCCCCUUCCCUAACCUCUCCCGAUCUCACCACCGCCUCCCUGCCCGCGCUGCCAUUGGCCCGCACCAGAUCGCCUCGGCACAGCCGCCGCCCUCACUAGAUCGCCCCGCCACAGCCGCCGCCCUCACCAGAUCGCCCCGCCACCGCGGUCUCCCUCCUCGGUCGUGCCACCACCAUAGUUUCCCUCCCCAAAUCAUGCCACAGCUGCCACCUCCGGCCUCCUCUGCACAACACCCCUGCUCCUUGACCUUCGUGCGCGGCAUUGCGCCGUAACCGCCGCCGCCAUCCAACCCCAAACGCCAUUAACCUGGGCGCCCCCCUCCCGCUUGCUCCGACGCGGAUCCGGUCAACCCCGCAACUCUCCCCUCCGGUGAGCAUCCUCUUCUCCUUCUCUACCUACGGCGUCCCACCCCUUCCCUCACCUCCUUCCGUGUCCGCGGCAGCACACAAAGCCGUUCAACCCCACUGCCUCGGGCCGUUCAACGAUGCGGCACCAGGACGUUCAACCCCACUUCCAGGAUGCUCCGACGAGGCCGAGAUCUUUCCUCUGUUCACCCAACUCUCUCUCAGGGAGGAUUUGAACUUCUUUGAAUUUGAAAGAAAAUUGCUUGCAAUUUUUUUUUCUGUAUAUUUGGUUUCUGAAAAAUGCACUUGGAUGUGAUGGAUGAAAUUAGUUUGAGCAUAGUUGAACUACAGUUUGUUUACAAAAAGUUGUGAAAAUUGCAGGUUUGUUCGAAGCUGACGGCGCUCCAUAUGUGCAGCAGCACCGCUGCCGCUACAGCUAAUCAGCCACUGCUUGUCAGUACAGUUGCUGGCCCAUGCAUUACACACUUAAAAAGUGAUUCGUGGUGCCACCAAGAACCAUACAUCUGCAUGUUCUUAGCACUUCUUUCUCUCUCUCUAAUUAGUUCUCAGUGGAGGUAGUGCAUCAUCUGCCUUGUGUCAACUUGUUCAAACAGGUAUUAAUCUUGUGUACUAACCGAUUUAAUGGCCAAGUUUUUGUCUGGAUGUGAUGCUACUAAUCUAAUAUUUGAAAAGCUUUCCCAUAAGAUGAAUGUGUGGGUGGGGAUCCUCUGGCCGCACGACAACCACCAAACCCGCGUCGCAAGCCGCUGGGAUCCUGCCUCCAUGCAACCUUACUCCACAUGUUAUCGUGACCUUCCUCUACUUGCCGCCGUGACCAGCAGCGGCCAUGACCCUCCAAGCGCCGGCGCAGCUACACUCCACCGCUGUCGGUGGGCCGCCAACCACCACCACCUCAUACAACCCGAUAGCUCCCUCCACAAACUAGCGCCGCCUGCCCCCACUACAUCUGCCACCUCCUGUAGUCUCUGCACAGCGGCGGCACCUUCCCAUGUUGUAUACCCGCAUCCUCUACCUUCGUCUACAAGCGUCUCAAUCCCCAGCAACACCCCUGUCUGUGCAGAAUGCUUUUGUUCUUCAGUUUGGGAAGAUUUGAACUUCUGAAGAAACUUUAUUGAGAAACGACACCCACCAUCUUGGCAUUAAUCAAAUCCAGGUGAAAAAAUGAAGUAUUGCAUCAACAGAAAAGCAGACUACAAAAAAGAUAUUAUUUUGAAUGUGAACCUGCGUGCAUUAUAUAGAAAUUAUGGAUGUUACUUCUGUGGUACUCAUCUUACCAUACACGUACAAACACAUGUUACUCUUAUAGUACUCAUCUUCCCAUACAGGUACAGAAUAGAUGCAGAGAAAAUAGUAUGUGAAUACUGGUACAAACUCCAUUUUGCAUUAUUCUUGCCGUAGAUGACGGAUUGUUUGCUUUCAGGACUUGAAUCUUGGUUUUAUUGAGAAGGUGGCUUGUCGGAUGUUGUCGCCAUGGAUGACGACGGUGAUCUCGUUCUCAAUCGGAGAAUGAAGAGACACUGUAAGGUGUUUGUUUUGUGGCUAUAUUUCCGUUGUUGGUGUGUUACGAAUUUGAUUGAUGUUCCUUGGUUUGCAGGGAGAAGGGACGAGGAUCAUGUCCUCACCGUGCAGCAUGGCGUCACCUCUUCGCUCCGGAGCGUCGGUCUUCUUGCGGGAGAGCAUUCAGUGUCGGAUUUCCUACUAUGUAUCGUCCUUCUUUCAUUUGUGGUCCAUUGUUUUCUAUUGUUGGUUUACAGGUUUGGAAGGCAGCCAUGCUGCUAACCUGACUUUGUGUUGCACAAGAGCUUCACGUCGUCUGAAUGCGACGGUGUUACUGCCAUGGAGAUCGGUGUUGGGAUAGGUGAUGGCUUGCUAUGAAAUUUAGUGAAUGAGAAAAUUGACUUAUUGCUGUGCUUGUACAACUGUGUAAUUUUUCUGAUUUUUUAUUUGUUUUUGUGAAGGUCAAAAUGUUGUGUCCGAGAAGUUCAAGUAUGUUAGUUUAUAUUGUAUUAUUGAGAAGCUCCAACUUGUUGUAGGAGUGCAUUGAGAAACAGAGUGAAAAUAUCUAUAAAAAUGUAAGUUCGGGAGGAUUAAAAAGGAAAAGGAAGAAAGAAAAAGCUCACACUUUUGUCGUUGAUAUUUACAGUGACAAAUAAGCAACAAGUUCAUGUUUGUCAACCAUUGAAGUUCAUGUAUAUGGUAGUUGAUGAUUGUUGUGUGCACUUAGGGGAGCACAAAAAAAUGCGGCUGGCCAAGGUCCGUGGAUGUUGAACUUUCGUUCAGUGAGUGGCGUGUGUCUCAAAAACAAAUUGUGUUCACAAAAACAAAAACAAAAAAAGAUGCAAAAAAGAGACAAACCCAAGUAUUUUCGUAGGGAAAAUAAUGACAAGUUCAAAUUGUUCAAAUAUGGAAGCUCAAAAAUGUUAAAAAUAAAUCCAAAAAUUUCUAGUACUCUCCUCCCACCUAUUUUGUCUGGAUAUAAAAAUAUAGACCCUCUCUCUUGAAAACAAAAAAAAAACUAAGGAAUUUCACACACAAACUUAUAUGAAAGACCUAGAUAUGCAUGAAAAAGAAAUAAAAUCGUAAGUGUUCAACUUAAAAAUAAACUCAUGAAACUCAUUAUCGGGACAAACACAUUGGUUUUAUUGUCCACAUUUAUAAAAUAAAUAAUACAUAGUAAAAAUGUUGAGAAGUUCAAAUUAAAUUAAUGGGGUAGUUCGAUGUUUAAAACAUCUCAAAUUUUUUUCAUUACUAAAUAACAAAAAGUGAGAAGUUCAAACAAAAAAUAGAGCAAAUUAAAAUUUAUAAAAAGGGAUUUUCACUUUUUGUAAAUAAAAAACUCUAGAGUUCAAAUUUAAAUUACAGACCGGUUCAAUAUUUAUUAGAAAAAUAGAAUGUUUCCAUUACUAAAAGAAAUUAUCCAAGAAAUACAAAAUACAAAAAUAGAGUAGUUCAACAUUUAUUAAAACUUAGAUUUCCUUGUUACCAAAGAGAUAAUAUCGAGAAGUUCAAAUUAAAAUUAAUAAAAGUAUGAACUUCAAUUUUUAAAAGAUGUUUGAUGCUUAUUUAAAAACACUUUUUCCUAAUAAUAAAACUUAGAAGUUCAAAUUAAAAUAAUAGAGAAGUUCAAAGUUUAUAAAAAACUAAAAUAAAAUCUCAUUACGAAAGAAUAAAAUAAAGAAGUUCAAAAAAAGGAAGAACCAAAAAAUGUUUAAAUAGAAAUGUUUUGUUUAAAAAUAUAGAAGAAGUUCAAACUAAACUAACGAAGUGGCUUGAUGUUUAUUAAAUUAUCAACCAUGAAGUUCAAAAUUCAAAAAUAGUCAANNNNNNNNNNAAUGCAUAUAAAAAACCCAGGAUUCUCGUUAGUAAUGAAUAAAACCAAGAAUUUCAAUUGAAAAAACAGAGCAGUUUGAUAUUUAUUUAAACGAAUCAGAUUUUUCCACUUACUAAACAAUAAAACAAAUAAGUUCAAUUGGAAUAACAAAGAAGUUUGAUGUUCCUAAAAAACUCCAGUUUUCACAUUUCUAAAAAACACACAAAAUUCAAAUAAAAAAGUUAGAGCGGUUCGAUGUCUUUAAAAAACUCAUACUUUUUUGUUACUAAAGCAAAAUAGGGAGAAGUUCAAAUUGAAAACGGCCAGAAGUUCAUGUGCUGCAUGGUGUGUGUUUUCAUAUGAGAAAAUAGAAUAAAAAGUUAAAGUAUAAACACUGUUGGAAGUUCAGGUGCUCAGCACGGUGAAGUUCAAAAACUUCUUAUGAGAGAGGCAACCAACACUAUAUAUCAGUUGUGCAACUAUGAUGAACGGGUGAGAAAUUACGAACAAAAAAACAUGGUAGAAGUUCAAGUGUAAACAGCGGGAAGUGCGAUGAUUAUAGAAAACUUAGAUUUUUCCCGUUAUUAAAGAAUGAAAAAAAGAAGUUCAAAAAUGAAACAACAAGAAGUUUAACUUUUAAAAAUAGAGUGCUUCAAAAUUUCAUAAAAAGAUUAAAGAAAUAAAAUCAGGAACUCCACAUUAAAAGAUGAAGAAGUUCGAUGAUUAUAGAAAACUCAGAUUUUCCUCGUUAUUAAAGAUUGGAAACAAGAAGUUCAAAAAUAAAAAAUAGGAAGUUCAACUUUUAAAAAUAGAGCGCUUCAAAAUUUUAUAAAAAAGGAUUAAGAAAUUCAGAUAAAUAUUUAUAAAAAACUCAGAUAUUUUCACAUAACCGAGAGAAGUUCGAUUGAUAACUGCCAGAAGUUCACGUACUACACGGUGUGCAUUUUGUAUUAAAAAGGAAUAAAAAGGCAAAGAGUAAAAGUUGUGUUGUUAUAAGUGCAACUCCUCGGUCAAAGAAAGUUAAAAAAAUUAUUGUGAGAGGGGUUUGUACAAAAGGAGUAUCAUUUGUGUAACACUGACAAAUGGAUGAGAAAAUUACAAACGAAAAUACGUCACAGAAGUUCAACGUGAAAAUAGCAUGAAGUUCAACUACUACGCUGAAUGAAUUUCAGAUGAAAAAGUUUUAAAACCAUCGCGAGUAUGAAAAAACGAUCAACACGGUAAAGUUAUGUGCUUACAACAGCUUUCUAAUGGUAUACCACUUGCUCAAUUCCGAUGAGUUGAUGGAGAGUUACGAGCAGUGGAUGGAGACCUACAAGAAAAAAAAUCACAUGAAGAACAGAGUGAAGUUCAGGUACACGCGCCGAGAAGUUCAGGUUCUUCACGCGGUGCAUUUUCGAAGAAUCUGUUUCGCGAUAAAGGCAGAAUGAAUGAUCUCGCCGUUUUCGAAAUUACAGGAAAACGGCUAGGAAUUAGAGAAAACCAUCAACAUGGAAAAGUUUCACAUUUUCCGUAGCUUUUCAGAGGUAUAUUAUUUGCCUCAUUCCGAUAAAGUUUGUAGAAAUUAUGGGGAAAAUAUGUUUUUAUCCAUUUUCCAAAUUGACUUAAAACCGUAAGGAAUUAGGAGAAACAAUAUAUACAAAACAGUUUCGCAUUUGUUCAAGCUUUCCAACGCCAUAUCAUUUGCUGCAUUCGGACGCACGGUUAAGAAAUUAGCUCGAAAUUACGUACUCAGUAGGACUUUGACCAUUUUCUAAAUUACUCUUAAACCAUUCAAAAUUAGAAAAAAACUUUCAAGAUGAAAAAGUAGCACAUUUUCAUAAGCUUUCCAACGCCAUAUCAUAUGUCUCCAUUCGAUUAGCUGUUUAGAAACGACAUCGAAAAAACGAACUCAGUUGUUCGGUUUACGAAAUUUUAUGUUUUUCACAUUAUUCUUUAACCAUAGGGAAUUAGAGAAACCUUUCAACAUGUGGAAGGAGCAGUUUUGCAGCAGCUUUCCAAUGCCAUAUUAUAUGCCUCAUUCCGAUAAGCGGUUUAGAAAUGCGAUCAAAAAUACGAUUCACGUUUUUUGUGCGAAAAAAACGGUUUUCAAAACUGCUCUUAAACCGCUUAUAUUUUGCCAAAAAAUUUAAGUUGGGUCAUGAUAUUGGUGUCCAUAGCUUUCCAACGGUAUAUCGCAAGCCCCAUUUGGGCAAUGUUGGCGGAAGUUCAACCUAGUUCACAGGGAAGUUCAACGUACUACUAGCGGGGCAGGUCAGGUUGUGAUCAGAAUAUUAUUCUGAUCCCGUGAUCAGAAUAGUGUUUAUAUAUAUAUAUAUAUAUAUAUAUAUAUAUAUAUAUAUAUAUAUANNNNNNNNNNNNNNNNNNNNNNNNNNNNNNNNNNNNNNNNNNNNNNNNNNNNNNNNNNNNNNNNNNNNNNNNNNNNNNNNNNNNNNNNNNNNNNNNNNNNNNNNNNNNNNNNNNNNNNNNNNNNNNNNNNNNNNNNNNNNNNNNNNNNNNNNNNNNNNNNNNNNNNNNNNNNNNNNNNNNNNNNNNNNNNNNNNNNNNNNNNNNNNNNNNNNNNNNNNNNNNNNNNNNNNNNNNNNNNNNNNNNNNNNNNNNNNNNNNNNNNNNNNNNNNNNNNNNNNNNNNNNNNNNNNNNNNNNNNNNNNNNNNNNNNNNNNNNNNNNNNNNNNNNNNNNNNNNNNNNNNNNNNNNNNNNNNNNNNNNNNNNNNNNNNNNNNNNNNNNNNNNNNNNNNNNNNNNNNNNNNNNNNNNNNNNNNNNNNNNNNNNNNNNNNNNNNNNNNNNNNNNNNNNNNNNNNNNNNNNNNNNNNNNNNNNNNNNNNNNNNNNNNNNNNNNNNNNNNNNNNNNNNNNNNNNNNNNNNNNNNNNNNNNNNNNNNNNNNNNNNNNNNNNNNNNNNNNNNNNNNNNNNNNNNNNNNNNNNNNNNNNNNNNNNNNNNNNNNNNNNNNNNNNNNNNNNNNNNNNNNNNNNNNNNNNNNNNNNNNNNNNNNGCUGCUUAGCAAAAAGUGAUGCUACUAUGGGACUUAGUAGUAGCGCUGUCCAGGAAAAGCGCUACUACUAAGUGGGGCCCAUUAGUAGUAGCGGCACAGUCAAAUCAAGCGCUACUACUAAACUAUUAGUAGUAACGCUUGUUUCUGUACAGCGCUACAACUCCAGCGACCGUUGGUGGCCUCAUCUGGUCCCACAUAGUAGUAGCGGGUUUUUGCUUCCCAGCGCUACUACUACAGAGUUACUAGUAGCGCCUGCCAGGUAAAGCGCUACUACUAAAUAGCAACAACGGUUACUAUUUUAUAGCUCUACUACUAUUGUACUGUGUAUAACAUUUUCCUAGCAGUGCAUACUCACAAUGUCUGGGUACCAUAAUCACUUCACUCAGCUAGGAGUUAAUCUUUUGGAUGAUAGUGUCAGUGAUAGAGUUCUUGAAUCACUGCCACCAAGCUAUAAAGGCUUCGUGAUGAACAAUAAUAUGCAAGGGAUGAACAAGACGAUUCCCGAGCUCUUCGCAAUACUUAAGGUUGUGGAGGUAGAAAUCAAGAAGGAGCAACGAGUGUUGAUAGUUAACAAGACCACUAGUUUCAAGAAAAAGGGCAAAGGAAAGAAGGGGAACUUCAAGAAUAAUGGCAAGAAAGUUGCUACUCCCGAGAAGAAGCCCAAGUCUGGACCAGAGCCUAAAACUGAGUGCUUCUACUGCGAAGGGACUGGUCACUUGAAGCGGAACUGCCCCAAGUAUUUGGCGGAUAAGAAGGAUGGCAAAGUGAAGAAAGGUAUAUUUGAUAUACAUGUUAUUGAUGUGUACCUUACUAAUGCUCGUAGUAGCGCCUGGGUAUUUGAUACUGGUUCUGUUGCUCAUAUUUGCAACUCAAAAUAGGGGCUAUGGAUUAAACAAAGAUUGGCUAAGGACGAGGUGACGAUGCGCGUCGGAAAUGGUUCCAAGGUCGAUGUGAUCACCAUCGGCACGCUACUUCUACAUCUACCUUCGGGAUUAAUUUUAAACCUAAAUAAUUGUUAUUUGGUGCCAGCGUUGAGCAUGAACAUUAUAUCUGGAUCUUGUUGAUGCGGGACGAUUAUUCAUUUAAAUAAAAGAAUAAUGGUUGUUCUAUUUAUAUGAGUAAUAUCUUUUAUGGUCAUGCGCCCUUGAAGAGUGGUCUAUUUCGUUGAAUCUCGGUCGUAGUGAUACACAUAUUCAUAAUAUUGAUGCCAAAAGAUGCAAAGUUGAUAAUGAUAGAGCAACUAGACAUUUGUGGCACUGCUGUUUAGGUCAUAUUGGUGUAAAGCGCAUGAAGAAACUCCAUGCGGAUGGACUUUUGGAAUCACUUGAUUAUGAAUCAUUUCAUGCUUGCCAACCAUGCCUCAUGGGCAAGAUGACUAAGACUCAGUUCUCCGGAACAAUGGAGCGAGCAACUAACUUAUUGGAAAUAAUACAUACUGAUGUAUGUGGUUCCAUCAGUGUUGAGGCUCGCAGUCGGUAUCAUUAUGUUCUGACUUUCACAAAUGAUUUGAGUAGAUAUGGUAUAUCAACUUAAUGAAACACAAGUGUGAAACAUUUGAAAAGUUCAAAGAAUUUCAAAGUGAAGUAGAAAAUCAUCAUAACAAGAAAAUAAGGUUUCUAUGAUCUGAUCGCGGAGGCGAAUAUUUGAGUUACGAGUUUGGUCUUCAUUUAAAACAAUGUGGAAUAGUUUCGCAACUCACGCCACCUGGAACACCACAGCAUAAUGGUGUGUCCAAACGUCAUAACCGUAAUUUAUUAGAUAUGGUGCGAUCUAUGAUGUCUCUUACCAAUUUACCACUAUUGUUUUGGGGUUAUGCAUUAGAGACAGUGUCGGUGUAUGAUAACCCACAAGUAUAGGGGAUCGCAACAGUUUUCGAGGGUAGAGUAUUCAACCCAAAUUUAUUGAUUCGACACAAGGGGAGCCAAAGAAUAUUCUCAAGUAUUAGCAGCUGAGUUGUAAAUUCAACCACACCUGGAAACUUAACAUCUGCAGAAAAGUAUUUAGUAGCAAAGUAAUAUGAUAGUAGUGGUAACGGUAGCAAAAGGUAACGGUAACAAAAGUAAUAUUUUUGGUGUUUUGUAGUGAUGAUAACAAUAGCAACAGAAAAGUAAAUAAGCGAAGAACAAUAUAUGGAAAGACCGUAGGCAAUGGAUCGGUGAUAGAGAAUUAUGCCAGAUGUGGUUCAUCAUGUAACAGUCAUAACCUAGGGUGACACAGAACUAGCUCCAAUUCAUCAAUGUAAUGUAGGCAUGUAUUCCGAAUAGUCAUACGUGCUUACGGGAAAGAACUUGCAUGACAUCUUUUGUCCUACCCUCCCAUGGCAGCGGGGUCCGAGUGGAAACAAAGGGAUAUUAAGGCCUCCUUUUAAUAGAGUAUCUGACCAAAGUGUUAACACAUAGUGAAUACAUGAACUCCUCAAACUACGGUCAUCACCGGGAGUGGUCCCGAUUAUUGUCACUUCGGGGUUGCUGGAUCAUAACACAUAGUAGGUGAUCAUAGACUUGUGAGAUAGGAUCAAGAACUCACAUAUAUUCAUGAAAACAUAAUAAGUUCAGAUCUGAAAUCAUGGCAAUCGGGCCCUAAUGACAAGCAUUAAGCAUAGCAAAGUCAUAGCAACAUCAAUCUCAGAACAAAGUGGAUACUAGGGAUCAAACCCUACCAAAACUAACUCGAUUGCAUGAUAAAUCUCAUCCAACCCAUCAGCGUCCAGCAAGCCUACAAUGGAAUUACUCACGCACGGCAGUGAGCAUCAUGAAAUUGGUGAUGGAGGAAGGUUGAUGAUGACGAUGGCGACGGAUUCCCCUCUCCGGAGCCCCGAAUGGACUCCAGAUCAGCCCUCCCGAGAGAGUUUAGGGCUUGGCGGUGGCUCCGUAUUGUAAAACGCGAUGAAUCCUUCUUCUUUAUUUUUUCUCCCCGAACACGAAUAUAUGGAGUCAAGAUGGACGUUGGUGGAGCUCAAGGGGGCCCACGAGGCAGGGGGCGCGCCCAGGGGGGCAGGCGUGCCCCCACCCUCGUGGCUAUGGUGUGGGCCCCCUAGCCUUGAUUCUUUGCCAGUAUUUUUUAUUAUUUCCAAAAAUAAUCUCCGUGGAGUUUCAGGUCAUUCCGAGAAUUUUUUCUGCACAUAAAUAACACCAUGGCAAUUUUGCUGAAGACAGUGUCAGUCCGGGUAUUUCCAUUCAAAUCAUGCAAGUUAGAGUCCAAAACAAGGGCAAAAGUGUUUGGAAAAGUAGAUACGACAGAGACGUAUCAACUCCCCCAAGCUUAAACCUUUGCUUGUCCUCAAUCAAUUCAGUUGACAAACUGAAAGUGAUAGAGAAAAACUUUUACAAACUCUGUUUGCUCUUGUUGUUGUAAAUAUGUAAAGAGAACAUUCAAGUUUUUAGCAAAGAUUAUGAACUAACCAUAUUCACAAUAACUCUUAGGUCUCAUGUUUACUCAUAUCAAUAGCAUAGUCAACUAGCGAGCAAUAAUAAUAAAUCUUAGAUGACAACACUUUCUCAAAACAAUCAUAAUAUGAUAUAACAAGAUGGUAUCUCGCUAGCCCUUUCUGAGACUGCAAAACAUAAAUGUAGAGCACCUUUAAAGAUCAAGGACUGACUAGACAUUGUAAUUCAUUCUAAAAGAGAUGCAGUCAAGUCAUACUCAAUGUAAACUAACAGUAAUGAAUUCAAAUGACAGUGGUGCUCUCCAACUGGUGCUUUUUAAUAAGAGGAUGAUGACUCAACAUAAAAGUAAAUAGAUAGGCCCUUCGCAGAGGGAAGUAGGGAUUUGUAGAGGUGCCAGAGCUCGAUUUUGAAAUAGAGAUGAAUAAUAUUUUGAGCGGUAUACUUUCAUUGUCAACAUAACAACCAAGAGAUGGCGAUAUCUUCCAUGCUACACACAUAAUAGGCGGUUCCCAAACAGAAUGGUAAAGUUUAUACCCCCCUCCACCAACAAGCAUCAAUCCAUGGCUUGCUCGAAACAAUGAGUGCCUCCAACUAACAAGAGUCUCGGGGGAGUUUUGUUUGUAGUUAUUUUGAUUUUAUUUGCAUAAAGCAUGGGACUGGGCAUCCCGGUGACCAGCCAUUUUCUCGUGAGUGAGGAGCGGAGUCCACUCCUCUUGAGAAUAAUACACCUAACAUGGAAGAUACGGAUACAUGAGCUAUUCGAGCAUACAAAACAUGAUAUUUAUUUGAAGGUUUAGAGUUUGGCACAUACAAAUUUACUUGGAACGGCAGGUAGAUACCGCAUAUAGGUAGGUAUGGUGGACUCAUAUGGAGCAACUUUGGGAUUUAUGGGAUUGGAUGCACAAGCAGUAUUCUUGCUUAGUACAGGUGAAGGCUAGAAAAAGACUGGGAAGCGACCAACUAGAGAGCGACAACAGCCAUGAACAUGCAUUAAAAUUAAUCAACAUCGAAUGCAAGCAUGAGUAGGAUAUAAUGCACCAUGAACAUAAAUAUCGUAGAGGCUAUGUUGAUUUUGUUUAAACUACAUGCAUGAACAUGUGCCAAGUCAAGCCACUCGAAUCGUUCAAAAGAGGAGACCACCCUAUCAUACCACAUCACAACCAUUUUAAUAGCAUGUUGGCACGCAAGGUAAACCAUUAUAAGCUCCUAGCUAAUUAAGCAUGGCAUAAGCAACUAUAAUCUCUAAUUGUCAUUGCAAACAUGUUCAUUCAUAAUAGGCUGAAUCAGGAACGAUGAACUAAUCAUAUUUACAAAAACAAGAGAGGUCGAGUUCAUACCAGCUUCUCCCAUCUCAAUCAGUCCAUCAUAUAUCGUCAUAAUUGCCUUUCACUUGCAUGACCGAAUGAUGUGAGUAAUAAUAAUAGUGCACGAGCAUUGUACUAAGCUGGAAUCUGCAAGCAUUCAAUAAACAGGAGAAGACAAGGCAAUAUGGACUCUUUUGUUAGAUCAACAAUAAUGCAUAUAGGAGUCACACCAACAAUUUAAUCAUGGUCUUCUCCUAUCGACCCCCAAAGAAAAGAAAUAAAACUAUUUACACGGGAAAGCUCCCAACAAGCAUAAGAAGAACAGGAAAUAUUUUUGGGUGUUGUUUUUAAUUACUACUACAAGCAUAGAAAAUAAAGCUAGCUAAAAGCUACAACUAAUUUUUUUGUUUUUCUUAAGGUUUAUCAAACACACAAGAAGAAAGCAUAAAAAGGAAAUAAACUAGCAUGGAUAUUACAAUGAAAAAGUAUGAGCACCGACAUCUAGCAAUGAGUGUGUGAACAAGAAUGUAAUGUCGGUGAGAAGUACACACUCCCCUAGGCUUAGGCUUUUGGCCUAAGUUGGUCUAUGGCCACGGUUGGCCUGGCGGAUAUCCAAAUUAAUAGUUGGGGUCGUACCGCGAUGAAGCCUCGGCUUUCCACUGGUUGGCAAUCACCUCCGGAUCCUACUGGUAAUCAGACUGUCGUGGAGGCUCAAAUUGUGGUUUGGGUUCUGGCUCUGCAGCUGAUGUAGGGUUCCGGUAGGCGUGAAUGGCCUCCAACAGAACAAGGUACUUGCCUGCAGAUAAAUCAAACAAGGAAGGAGCAGGCAGGGUAAUAGUCUUGGGAUGAUGUUUAUCAAAGAACAAUUUGUAUUUAAGCUCAUUUUCUCUAUUCUUAACAAUAAAAUCAUGUGCUACCAUACUCUUAUAAUCUAAAUAAACAGGAGGCAGCAAUUUUUCUUCCUUCUCAUAAUGCCUAAUAGGUAUGUUAAAAUGUGUAGCUAGGCGCGAGGCGAAGAUGCCUCCAAAGACGGGGCCCUUAGUACGGUUAAGAUUUAACCGCUUUGCAAUAAUAGCACCCAUGCUGAAUGUAUCAUCACGAAAUAAGGCAUGGCACAAAAUAACAAUAUCAGGGGCACUCAGGUUUCCACAGUUUCCGCGCCCAAUUAAGCAUCUACUAGCAAGUAUAGCAAAGUAAUGUAGAACGGGAAAGUGUAUGCUAGUAGUUCGUGCAUCGGAAACCUUCCUUGUUUCCCCUACAGUGAUGGUAGCAAUAAACCCAUCCACAUCGUCAUGAUGAGGUUCCUCUAUGAUGCCCUCGAGAGGGAUCAAACAAACCCGACAAAAAUCAUGAAGUGACAUCUCCUUAUGCUCAUUAUAUAAAUAAAACUCCACUGUAGGUGGUGAGUUCCUAGCAUGGAAAUGAAAGUUUUGCACAAAGAUAUUGGUGCAUAAUAGAUAUUGUUCACGUUGGUCGUGGAGGAAGGCAGUGAGGCCUGCAUUCUCAGCUAUUCAUAGAAAUCAUCAUAAAUCCCGGCUGCUCUCAAGAAAUCAUCACAAGGCCAUUCACACGGCCGUACCUCCGUAGUGCGAGGGAGAUUAUACUUGGGUCUCUUAUCCUCCUCACUUUGCUUAUCCUUCGAGCUUCGGCCCGAUGAGCCCCUCAAAAAUCUCUUCAUUAUUUUCUAAAAAAAUCUGAAAUUUCUAGUAACUUCAAAAUAAAAGUGAACCAAACUCAACAAAAUUGAUAGCAACUACUCCUACAAGUGCCUAGAGCCUAUAUCAUGCAUUAGAACUACUUGGAACCAUAUAAAUUUUACAUGCAAGCUCAAGAACGUGGUCACCUAGGCAGCACAAAUUUGCAAUGAAUAAAGCACUAGAACAAAAACUAAUUGGAACAAUGGAGGAGUCACAUACCAAGGAACAAUCCCCCAAAGCAGUUUUGCGAGAAGUGCUUUGAGCAAGGAGAUCGAAAAUCACAGCAAAAUGAGCUAGAACUCGUGCUUGAGCUGGAUAGUGGUGUUUGUGGGAGGAAGAAGGAGUGUGUGGGUGCAGGGAUAAGUGGAGGGGAGCCACCAUGGGCCCACGAGGCAGGGGGCGCACCCAGGGGGGUGGGCGCGCCGUGGACCCUCGUGGCCAGGUGCUUGCUCCCCCUGUUGUGUUCUGAGUGCCAGAUAUUCUCAAAUAUUCCAGAAAAAAUCAUAUUAAACUGGCAGGGCAUUUGGAGAACUUUUUUUUCGUGGUAUUUUUAUAUUGCAUGGAUAAUCAGAAAAUAGAUAGAAAUUACUAUUUUUGCUUUAUUUAAUAUAAAUAACAAAAAGUAAAAAGAGGGUACAGAGAGUUGUGUUAUCUAAAUUCAUCCAUCUCAUGCUCAUCAAAAGGAAUCCACUAACAAGGUUGAUCAAGUCCUGUUAACAAACUCAUUCCGAGUAACAUGGAACCGGAGAAUUUUCGAAUUACACUAGGUUACCUCAAUGGGGAUAUGCACAUCCCCAACAAUAAGAAUAUCAUAUUUCUUCUUGACAGUACGAAGAGGAAAUUCAAAACCUCCAAAAAUAAUCGAUGGAAUUUUUUCGAUAGAGUUUAUACUGUGGACUUGAGGUUGUUUCCUUGGAAAGUGUACCGUAUGCUCAUUACCAUUAACAUGAAAAGUGACAUUGCCUUUGGUGCAAUCAAUAACAGCCCCUAUAGUAUUCAAAAAGGGUCUUCCAAGAAUAAUAGACAUACUAUCGUCCUCGGGAAUAUCAAGAAUAACAAAGUCCAUUAAAAUAAUAACGUUUGCAACCACAACAGGCACAUCCUCACAAAUACCGACAGGUAUAGCAGUUGAUUUAUCAGCCAUUUGCAACGAUAUUUCAGUAGGUGUUAACUUAUUCAAAUCAAGUCUAUGAUAUAAAGAGAGAGGCAUAACACUAACACCGGCCCCAAGAUCACAUAAAGCAGUUUUAACAUAGUUUCUUUUAAUGGAGCAUGGUAUAGUGGGUACUCCUAGAUCUCCUAACUUCUUAGGUAUUCCACCCUUAAAAGUAUAAUUAGCAAGCAUGGUGGAAAUCUCAGCUUCCGGUAUCUUUCUUUGAUUAGUGACAAUUUCUUUCAUAUACUUAGCAUAAGGAUUCAUUUUAAGCAUAUCAGUCAAACGCAUACGCAAAAAGAUAGGUCUAAUCAUUUCGGCAAAGCGCUCAAAAUCCUCAUCAUCCCUUUUCUUGGAUGGCUUAGGAGGAAAAGGCAGAGGUUUCUGAACCCAUGGUUCUCUUUCUUUACCAUUCUUCAUAGCAACAAAGUCUCUUUUAUCAUAAGUUGAUUCUUUGAUUGUGGGUUAUCAAGAUCAACAGCAGGUUCAAUCUCUACAUCAUUAUCAUUGCUAGGUUGAGCAUCAACAUGAACAUUAUCAUUAACAUUAUCACUAGUUUCAUGUUCAUUACCAUAUUGUGUUUUAGCAUUAGAAAUUGAAAUAUCAUUGGGAUUCUCAGGUGGUUCAGCAAUAGGUUCACUAGAAGCAUGCACAGUCGUAUCAUUUUUCUGUUUCUUCCUUUUAGAUGGACUAGGUGCAUCAAUAUUAUUUCUCUGAGAAUCUUGCUCAAUUCUCUUAGGAUGGCCUUCAGGAUACAAAGGUUCCUGAGUCAUUUUACCAGUUCUAGUAGCCACUCUAACAGCAUAGUCAUUAUUCUUACUAUUCAAUUCAUUGAGCAAAUCAUUUUGACCUUUAAGUACUUGUUCUACUUGAGUGGUAACCAUAGAAGCAUGUUUACUAAUGAUUUUAAGUUCACCUUUAACUCUAGACAUAUAAUCAACUAAGUGUUCAAUCAUUUAAGCAUUUUGUUUCAAUUGUCUACCAAAAUAAGCAUUGAAGUCUUCUUGCUUAACCAUAAAGUUAUCAAACUCAUCCAAACAUUGGCUAGAAAACUUAGUAGGAGGGAUUUCAGCUUUAUCAUAUCUAUAGAGAGAAUUUACCUUUACUACCUGUGUCGGGAUGUCAAGACCAUGUGUUUCUUUAAUAGGUGAUGGACUAAAACCAUAUAUUUCUUCAACAGGCAGUCAAUUAAGACCAUGUAUUUCUUUAAUAGGAGGUAAAUUCUUAACAUCUUCAGCUUUAAUACCCUUUUCUUUCAUGGAUUUAUUUGCCUCUUGCAUAUCUUCAGGACUGAUAAAUAGAACACCUCUUUUCUUCGGAGUUGGUUUAGGAAUAGGCUCAGGAGUUGGCUCAGGAGCUAGCUCAGGAAGUGUCCAAUUAUUUUCAUUUGUCAACAUAUUAUUCAAUAGAAUUUUAGCUUCAUCCGGUGUUCUUUCCCUGAAAACAAAACCAGCACAACUAUCCAAGUAAUCUCUGGAAGCAUCUGUUAGUCCAUUAUAAAAGAUAUCAAGUAUUUCAUUUUUCUUAAGAGGGUGAUCAGGCAAAUCAUUAAGUAAUUGGAGAAGCCUCCCCCAAGCUUGUGGGAGACUCUCUUCUUCAAUUUGCACAAAAUUAUAUAUAUCCCGUAAGGCAGCUUGUUUAUUAUGAGCAGGGAAAUAUUUAGCAGAGAAGUAAUAAAUCAUAUCCUGGGGACUACACGCACAACCAGGAUCAAGAGAAUUAAACCAUAUCUUAGCAUCACUCUUUAAUGAGAACAGAAAUAUUUCAAGGAUAUAAAAGUAGCGAGUUCUCUCAUCAUUAGUGAACAGGGUGGCUAUAUCAUUUAAUUUAGUAAGAUGUGCCACAACAGUUUCAGAUUCAUAGCCAUAAAAAGGAUCAGAUUCAACCAAAGUAAUUAUAUCAGGAUCAAUAGAGAAUUCAUAAUCCUUAUCAGUAACAAAGAUAGGUGAAGUAGCAUAAGCAGGAUCAUAUUUCAUUCUAGCAUUCAGAGCUUUUUGUUUAAGCUUAGCUAAUAAUUUCUUAAGAUCACUUCUAUCAUUGCAAGCAAGAAAAUCUCUUUCAGUUUCUUCAUCCAUAACAUAGCCCUCAGGCACAACAGGCAAUUAAUAUUUAUUAAGAGAGCCUUCAUCAUCAUUUUCAUCAAUAUUAUCAGUUUCAAUAAUUUCAUUCUCUAUAGCCCAAUCAAGUUGUUCAUCAAGAAAUUCACCAAGUGGCACAAUACUAUCAAGCAUAGAAGUACUUUCAUCAUAAGUAUCAUGUGUAGCAUAAGUGGCAUCAUCAAUAAUAUGCGACAUAUCAGAAUUAAUAGCAGAAGCAGGUUUAGGUGUCGCAAGCUUACUCAAAACAGAAGGUGAAUCAAUUGCAGAGCUAGAUGGCAGUUCCUUACCUCCCCUCAUAGUUGAGGGAUAAAUCUUGGUUUUUGGAUCUCUGAAGUUCUUCAUAAUGAUAAGCAGAUAUAAAUCCCAAGUGACUCAAAGAAUAGAGCUAUGCUCCCUGGCAACGGCGCCAGAAAAUGGUCUUGAUAACCCACAAGUAUAGGGGAUCGCAACAGUUUUCGAGGGUAGAGUAUUCAAACCAAAUUUAUUGAUUCGACACAAGGGGAGCCAAAGAAUAUUCUCAAGUAUUAGCAGCUGAGUUGUCAAUUCAACCACACCUAGAAACUUAAUAUCUGCAGCAAAGUAUUUAGUACCAAAGUAAUAUGAUAGUAGUGGUAACAGUAGCAAAAGGUAACGGUAACAAAAGUAAUAUUUUCGGUGUGUUGUAGUGAUGAUAACAAUAGCAACAGAAAAGUAAAUAAGCGAAGAACAAUAUAUGGAAAGCUUGUAGGCAAUGGAUCGGUGAUAGAGAAUUAUGCCGGAUGUGGUUCAUCAUGUAACAGUCAUAACCUAGGGUGACACAGAACUAGCUCCAAUUCAUCAAUGUAAUGUAGGCAUGUAUCCGAAUAUAGUCAUACGUGCUUAUGGAAAAGAACUUGCAUGACAUCUUUUGUCCUACCCUCCCGUAGCAGCGGGGUCCUAGUGGAAACUAAGGGAUAUUAAGGCCUCCUUUUAAUAGAGUACUGGAGAAAAGCAUUAACACAUAGUGAAUACUUGAACUCGUCAAACUACGGUCAUCACCGGGAGUGGUCCCGAUUAUUGUCACUUCAGGGUUGCCAGAUCAUAACACAUAGUAGGUGACUUGUAACACCCCGAACACACCCGCCGGUGGUCGUUACUCCUGGCGGGAUCUAGACUGGCCCCACAAAUCAAUACUAGUCUUUUCUGCGCACUUUUUCCUCACUCAUGCGCACCCGGGAGCAACUUCCCGGUCGGUCACCCAUCCUGACACUACUCCAAGCUGAGCACGCUUAACUUUGGAGUUCUGUCCGAAUGGGCUCCCGAAAAAGAAGGAAUUCCUUAUUGAUAUGAGUAGUCUAUCAUCCCUAAUAAGCCAGGCCAUCACAUACACCCCCAAUCAGAGGAACCGACGUCCUCGUCGGGCCACAGGAACGUUCCCUCUUGGCACAUACGUCUGUGCAUCCAGUCCGGUACAUGUGCCAUGCCGGGUGCCACGACGGGUCACAAACGUCAUGAACAACAUGACCGCACACCUAUCCGCAAACAUCUGUGUAACCGCGAGGGUUGGCUCUGAUACCAACUUGUAAUGCCCCGGACACACCCGCCGGUGGUCGUUACUCCUGGCGGGAUCUAGACUGGCCCCACAGAUCAAUACUAGUCUUUUCUGCGCACUUUGUCCUCACUCAUGCGCACCCGGGAGCAACUUCCCGGCCGGUCACCCAUCCUGACACUACUCCAAGCUGAGCACGCUUAACUUUGGAGUUUUGUCCGAAUGGGCUCCCGAAAAAGAAGGACUUCCUUAUUGAUAUGAGUAGUCUAUCAUCCCUAAUAAGCCAGGCCAUCACAUGACUAUAGACUUGCAAGAUAGGAUCAAGAACUCACAUAUAUUCAUGAAAACAUAAUAGGUUCAGAUCUGAAAUCAUGGCACUCGGGCCCUAGUGACAAGCAUUAAGCAUAGCAAAGUCAUAGCAACAUCAAUCUCAGAACAUAGUGGAUAAUAGGGAUCAAACCCUAACAAAACUAACUCGAUUACAUGAUAAAUCUCACCCAACCCAUCACCGUCCAGCAAGCCUACGAUGGAAUUACUCACUCACGGCGGUGAGCAUCAUGAAAGUGGUGAUGGAGGAAGGUUGAUGAUGACGAUGGGCCGGAUUCCCCUCUCCGAAGCCCCGAACGGACUCCAGAUCAGCCCUCCCGAGAGAGUUUAGGGCUUGGCGGCGGCUCUGUAUCGUAAAACGCGAUGAAUCCUUCUUCUUUAUUUUUUCUCCCCGAACACGAAUAUAUGGAGUCAAGAUGGAUGUCGGUGGAGCUCCAGGGGGCCCACGAGGCAGGGGGCGCGCCUAGGGGGGCAGGCACACCCCCACCCUCGUGGCUAAGCUGUGGACCCCCUGGCCUUGAUUAUUUGCCAGUAUUUUUUAUUAUUUCCAAAAACAAUAUCCGUGGAGUUUCAGGUCAUUCCGAUAACUUUUGUUUCUGCACAUAAAUAACACCAUGGCAAUUUUGCUGAAAACAGCGCCAGUACGGGUUAGUUGCAUUCAAAUCAUGCAAGUUAGAGUCCAAAACAAGGGCAAAAGUGUUUGGAAAAGUAGAUACGACGGAGACGUAUCAGUGUACAAAACUAGGGCUCUUCUUUUGACCCCUUUACUUGUGCAUGGGCAGUCAAAGCCGCGCGCGCCACGGCCACACUUAGUAGGGCAGAGGAGGGAAGCCAGAGAGAAGCCAAAACACGAGGCAACCAAGGCAACGCCAAGACCAGAAACGCAGGAGAGCAAGAGGGCAAGGUGGACUCCCUCGGCAAGAUCCUUGCCGAGGUAGCCUCCGUAGCCCCGGCAAGAGAUUUGCGGGGGCAACUUGCCCGAUGCCAGCGGAGUGAGCCACCCUUUAGCCCACAGGCUCCAACCCAACCAUCUACAUUGGAACCAAGGCUCGGGAGGCGCCUCUGUGGUGGCAUGCAAAUCUUUGUCAAGAUCAUAAACAUGUGAGAUCAGAUGAGGACCAGAAGACGGCGACCCUCGGCCGGAUCCUAGCCGAGGAAAUCCACAAGACCGCCGACAAGACCCUUGCCAAGGGCAUCCGCAGGGCCGCUGCCAGGCCCACGCCAGCCAAGACUCCACCACCGUCACCAAGCAGCUGCUAGCUCAACCAGUUGGGCAGGCACCUGCAUGGCGACGGGCAGCCUCUACACCGACUCAACAAGCACCCGCGUGGCGGCAUGCGACCCUUCAUGAAGGCUCCACAACCGCGCUAGCCCAGCAGCCAGCCAACAUGGCGCCAUGAUGCCACAUCAGCUCGGACGCGUGUCGAGACCAGGCGAGGCGGCGAGAGCUGGGACGUGGUUCCCUGGCGUCCCUGAUAAAGUAAGGAGGGCACGUCGGUAGUGCAUUAAAUGCGUUUGUCCGAUGGUCCCAGAGGAUAGCCUUGUUAACUGGAGACCUUUCCACCGUUUGUGUGCCACUGUGGCAACCCCUUUUUCCUAUAAAAGGAGGCCUAAGGCGACCAGGAGACGGAUUCGGCCCUUUUGGGCAAGUUGCACCACAUGGAUAGCCCAAUAACACAAGAACACUCUCAAAUACAUCCACCAAAGCAGGACUAGGGUAUUACGCAUCUUUGCGGCCCGAACCUGGGUAAACGAUCCAUGUGCUCCCUGUCAGACCCGCUCUUCGCACGACCUCGCGCCCGCCAACCAUAGAAGGGAUCCCAGUGACCCCAUAGGUGUCGUUUCCACCGACAUCUCUAGCGCGCCAGGUAGGGGGCGCAGUUGUGAAAAUAUGGUCUGGCAGUCAGCCUAGCGAUUCUUGAUCGUCAUGACUCCCAAGAAGAAGGCGGCCACGGCGGUCGGGUCAUCGGGAGCCGGACGGCCCGUACCGGUGCGGGCGAGCAGCGGGCCAGUCGCGGACAGAACCCGAGGCGCGACCUGCGAACACCAACAUCGCUCUGGCAGUCAGAGCCUGCCGAGCGGCGUCGUUCGUGCGCAAGGCGAUGAGCCGCAUGCCGCGAAAUCCAGAGACGGAGAUGGGCCCCCUGCAGGCGGCGUGGGACCCUCCGGGGGCGUCGCCGUACAACCCACGGGCGGUGCGGCAACCUCCAAGACUCCCACUCCGGUGCCCACAGCGCGCUCUUCCCAGGUUGUGCGCGACGAGCAGCGUCACCAUGCCGGUGACCCUCGACUCUGCCAUGGGGAGAGUCAUGUGCGUCAUUUGUGGAACGAAGGAGGUCAGCAUGCCCGCCGAAGUACUGGCGAAAAUGGCACACAGCUGCUAGGCCGUGACAGAGCUCCUUCUAACGUGCUUAGAAGUCGAAGCGCGCCACGGUCCAUGCAGCUUUCGCCGCCACCCAUGCCAGCAGAAGCUUUGGCACGUGCGCAGCUGCUCCUCGACUUCCCUCCUACCGCGGAAAUUCUUGACGAGUGGAGAGCCACUCUCCGGAGCCUCAUCGGCGUCGCCAACAAGGACGGGCCCCGGCCGAUAGGGCCCUCAGGCUGGCGCUCCAUCGACCCACUGCAGGACAGUGGUGGAGGGGCCGGAGGCGCCGCGGCUACGGUGCACUCUCCUCCUCCAUGCCAGCCACCGCGGAUGUCGGUCCGUCGUGAUGACGCUUGUGAUAACAUUUCCAUAGUGUCGUCCAAUCCACGGACCCACCGCGACCAACGCCAGGUCCUUCGGGAGCGAGCCCAUGAAGAUGCUCGAACCACCAUCGAGCGCCAACAUGAUACGCGCCACCGGUCAGACAGGCGGGCGGGGCCUGCUAUGCACCACCCAGCACCGGGAGGCUCCGGCAGCCUACCUUACGAGGUGGGUUGCCCAGCCUUUACCCAUGAGCUGUGGCGGUUCCAGUGGCCAUCCCACGGCACGUUCAAGCCCGACGUAGGUGAGAAGUACAAUGGCAAGACCCAUCCAUCAGAGUUCCUCAGCAUCUACACCAUCGCGAUGCAAGCUGCUAGAGCUCGUGAUGACAAGGUGCUUGCCUACUACUUUCCGUUGGCCCUGAAACCCAAUGUAAUGUCUUGGUUGAUCCACUUGCCGGUGGAUUCCAUUUCUUCUUGGUCGGACCUGUGUCAUUAGUUCGUUGGGGCCUUCACUGGAGGCCACCAAGCUCAUGGACAGGCGAAUGAUUUGCAUAUCAUUCCCCAGAAGGAAGGCGAAAACCUGUGCAAGUACAUACAGAGGUUCAACCGAGUGCAAUACAACAUCCCGGAUGUUGAUCCUGCCGCCGUGAUCAGCGCAUUCCAUCAGAAUGUGCGCAACCGCAAGAUGCGUGAAGAGCUGGCCAUGAACAAGGUCAAGGACGUGGCUAAACUUUACAUUCCGGCCGAUAGAUGCGCCCGGGCUGAAGAGGGAAGGAAGUGCUUAUACGUCUCCGUCGUAUCUAUAAUUUUUUAUUGUUCCAUGCCAAUAUUCUACAACUUUCAUAUACUUUUGGCAACCUUUUAUACUAUUUUUGGGACUAACAUAUUGAUUUAGUGCCCAGUGCCAGUUCCUGUUUGUUGCAUGUUUUUUGUUUCGCAGAAUAUCCAUAUCAAACGGAGUGCAAACGGGAUAAAAACUGGCGGUGAUUUUUUUGGAAUAUAUAUGACUUUUGGGAAGAAAAAUCCACGCAAGACGGUGCCCGAGGGGGCCACGACGCAGGGGGGCGCGCCCCUGACCCUCGUGGCCACCCCGUAAGGCGGUUGAUGCCCUUCUUUUGCCGCAAGAAAGCUAAUAUCUGGAUAGAGGUGUUAAAAUUUCAGCCCAAUCGGAGUUACGGAUCUCCGGGAAUAUAAGAAACGGUGAAAGGGAAGAAUCUGAGAACGCAGAAACAGAGAGAGACAGAGAGACAGAUCCAAUCACGGAGGGGCUCUCGCCCCUCCCACGCCAUGGAGGCCAUGGACCAGAGGGGAAACCCUUCUCCCAUCUAGGGAGGAGGUCAAGGAAGAAGAAGAAGGAGGGGGGCUCUCUCCCCCUCGCUUCCGGUGACACCGGAAUGCCACCGGGGGCCAUCAUCAUCACGCAAUCUUCACCAACAACUUCACCACCAUCAUCACCAACUCUUCCCCCCUCUAUGCAGUGGUGUAACCCCUCUCUUACCCAUUGUAAUCUCUACUUAAACAUGGUGCUCAAUUCUAUAUAUUAUUUCCCAAUGAUGUAUGGCUAUCCUAUGAUGUUUGAGUAGAUCCAUUUUGUCCUAUGGGCUAUUUGAUGAUCAAGAUUGUUUUGAGUUGCAUGUUUUAUUAUUGGUGUUGUCCUAUGGUGCUCUCCGUGUCGCAAAAGUGUGAGGGAUCCCCGCUGUAGGGUGUUGCAAUACGUUCAUGAUUCGUUUAUAUUGGGUUGCGUGAGUGACUGAAACACAAACCCGAGUAAGGGGGUUGUUGCGUAUGGGAUAAAGAGGACUUGAUACUUCAAUGCUAUGGUUGGGUUUUACCUUAAUGAUCUUUAGUAGUUGCGGAUGCUUGCUAGAGUUCCAAUCAUAAGUGCAUAUGAUCCACGUAGAGAAAGUGUGUUAGCUUAUGCCUCUCCCUCAUAUAAAUUUGAAAUAAUGAUUACCGGUCUAGUUAUUGAUUGCCUAGGGACAAAUAACUUUCUCGUAACAAAAAGCUCUUUACUAAACCUAACUUAGUUGUGUCUUUAUCUAAACAGUAACUUAGUUGUGUCUUUAUCUAAACAGCCCCUACUUUUUAUUUACUUUCUCUUUAUUAUCUUGCAUACCUAUCCAACAACACCUACAAAGUACUUCUAGUUUCAUACUUGUUCUAGGUAAAGCGAACGUCAAGCGUGCGUAGAGUUGUAUCGGUGGUCGAUAGAACUUGAGGGAAUAUUUGUUCUGCCUUUAGCUCCCCGUUGGGUUCGACACUCUUACUUAUCAAAAACUAUUGCGAUCCCCUAUACUUGUGGAUUAUCAAGACCUUUUUCUGGCACCGUUGCCGGGGAGCAAUAGCGUGGGGUGAAUAUUCUCGUGUGUGCUUAUUUGCUUUAUCACUAAGUAAUUUUUAUUUGCUUUUCUUAGUUGUUUUCUAUCUUUAGUUAUGGGUAGGAAACGCAAAAUACCAAAAAAAUAGUUGUACCUCCUAAACCAAUGGUUGAAGAACCACUCAAAAUCUAUCACACUACUGAAGCUUAUUACUUGGAUCAUCUUCGAUCCCUAUGUGCUCGUGCUGAAACCCCAACUAGCUUAGUUGAGGGAAAACCUUUAGAUGAGCAUGCUUGUUAUGUGCGACACCGAAUAUCUGAAAAAGGGAAAAUUUUACUGGGUCAAAUUCAUCGUUUGCAAUGCCAUGCUUGGAAUUUAUGCAAAAUAUAUGAUAUUACUUGUUGUUCUGAAAACCCUAAGAAACACCUUCCCUAUCAAUGUGAGUUUAGUGAUAAUGGAAUCGUAUCUUCGUAUGCUAAGGGUGUUUAUAGUUACUAUGAUGUUCAACAAAUUGAAGAAUUUGUUGCUUUUAAGGGUGCUUAUGAAAUUGCUUCUUCGAUUGAAACGUAUGAUGCUACUCUUUACAAAUCUGAAAAUUUUGACAUACUUAAAUAUUGCUAUGAUAAUUAUGCUUCUAAUGCCUAUGUUGAACCAUAUAUUGAGGACUACCCCGCUGUCCAAGAAGAGACUAAUAUUUUACAGGAGUCUAUGGAAGAAGAAAUUGAUGAAACUGUGAGCUCAUUGGAUGAAAAAGAUGAGGAGGAGAGCGAAGAACAAAAGGAGGAAGAGCAGAUUAGCUACCCGUGCCUACCUUCUAAUGAGAAUAACUCUUCAACUCAUACAUUGUUUAAUUUCCCUUCAUGCUUACCGAAGGAUGAUUGCUAUGAUGAUUGUUAUGAUCCCUUUGAUUCUCUUGAAAUAUCCCUUUUUGAUGAUGCUUGCUAUGCUAGUGGCCAAGAUGCCAAUAUGAAUUAUGCUUAUGGAGUUGAACUUGCUAUAGUUCCUUAUGUUAAACAUGAAAUUUUUGUUAUUGCACCCACACAUGAUAGUCCUAUUAUCUUUUUUAAUUCUCCCGACUACACUAUAUCAGAGAAGUUUGCCCUUAUUAAGGAUUAUAUUGAUGGGUUGCCUUUUACCGUUGCACAUGAUGAUUUUGAUAGAUAUAAUAUGCAUGUGCUUGCUGCUCCUACUUGCAAUUAUUAUGAUAGAGGAACUAUAUCUCCGCCUCUUUAUGUUUCCAAUACAACAAAAUUGCAAGAAACUGUUUAUACUAUGCAUUGGCCUUUACUAUGUGUGCAUGAAUUGUUAUUUUAUGACAUGCCGAUGCAUAGGAAGAGAGUUAGACUUCGUUGUUGCAUGAUAUAUGUUACUUUGUGCUCACUACUAAAUUACAAAUCAUUGUUAAUUAAAAUUGGCUUUGAUAUACCUUGGGAUCCGGGUGGAUUCAUUACUUAAGCACUAUAUGCCUAGCUUAAUGGCUUUAAAAAAAAGCGCUGCCAGGGAGACAACCCGGAAGUUUUAGAGAUUCAUUUAUUUCUAUUGAGUGCUUUCAUAUAGUUUAAAAAGAACAAAAAUAAAGAGGGGAACCCGAAACUUUUUCAAAAAGGAAAGUGAAAGUGAGAAAGACAAGCAUUGUUGAAGUGGGAGAGCUCCUUGAACUUUGUUCAUGUUCACGACAACUUUAUGAAUCUUGAUUACAAAAACUUUUCAAUAAAAAUAAUUAUCCCCUUUGUACAAUUCCAUUGUAUUAUAAAAAUAAUGUGCCAAGGUUUGCCUUUAGGAUGUUUACAUUUGCUUGAUGGUUUGUACGGUGUAGGACAGAAACUUUGGCUGUAGUGCGCGAUUUUUCAUUUUUAGCUGGAACGUCAAAUGGUUCUGAUUCUUUUUGCAAUGUCUUUCUAUGCAAAUUUUUAAUUUUUCCUAAUUUUGGUAGAAUUGUUAAAGUAUCAGAAGUAUGGUGAAUGUUCAGAUUAUUACAGACUGUUCUAUUUUAGACAGAUUCUGUUUUUGAUGCAUAGUUUGCUUGUUUUGAUGAAACUAUCGAUUUAUAUCAGUGGAUUAAGCCAUGGAAAAGGUAUAUUACAGUGGACACAAUGCAAAAACAAAAUAUGAAUUGGUUUGCAACAGUGCUUAGAGUAGUGAUUUGCUUUAUUAUACUAACAGAUCUUACCGAGUUUUCUGUUGAAGUUUUGUGUGGAUGAAGUGUUCGAUGAUCAAGAAGGUCUCAAUAUGAGAAGAAGGAAGAGAGGCAAGAGCUCAAGCUUGGGGAUGCCCGAGGCAACCCAUGUAAAUAUUCAAGGAGACUCAAGCGUCUAAGCUUGGGGAUGCCCCAAAAGGCAUCCCCUCUUUCUUCAACAAGUAUCGGUAUGUUUUCGGAUUCGUUUCGUUCAUGUGAUAUGUGCAAUCUUGGAGCGUCUUAUGCAUUUAGUUUUCAUUUUUAUUUUAUGCACCAUGCUGGUAUGAGAUAGUACUUGGUUGAUUUAUAGAAUGCUCUAUGCACUUCACUUAUAUCUUUUGAGUAUGGCUUUAUAGAAUGCUUCAUGUGCUUCACUUAUAUCAUUUGAAGUUUGGAUUGCCUGUUUCUCUUCACUUAGACAACCGCCAUUUGUAGAAUGCUCUUUUGCUUCACUUAUAUUUGUUAGAGCAUGGGCAUAUCUUUUGUAGAAAGAAUUAAACUCUCUUGUUUCACUUAUAUCUGUUUAGAGAGAUGACAGGAACUGGUCAUUCACAUGGUUAGUCAUAAAAUCCUACAUAAAACUUGUAGAUCAUUGAAUAUGAUAUGUUUGAUUCCUUGCAAUAGUUUUGCGAUAUAAAGAUGGUGAUAUUAGAGUCAUGCUAGUGGGUAGUUGUGGAUUAGUAGAAAUACUUGUGUUGAGGAUUGUGAUUCCCGUAGCAUGCACGUAUGGUGAACCGUUAUGUAACGAAGUCGGAGCAUGAGGUAUUUAUUGAUUGUCUUCCUUAUGAGUGGCGGUCGGGGAUGAGCGAUGGUCUUUUCCUACCAAUCUAUCCCCCUAGGGGCAUGCGUAGUAGUACUUUGCUUCGAGGGCUAAUAAACUUUUGCAAUAAGUAUGUGAGUUCUUUAUGACUAAUGUUGAGUCCAUGGAUUAUACGCACUCUCACCCUUCCAUCAUUACUAGCCUCUCUAGUAUCGCGCAAAUUUCACCGGUACCAUAAACCCACCAUAUACCUUCCUCAAAACAGCCACUAUACCUACCUAUCAUGGCAUUUCCAUAGCCAUUCCGAGAUAUAUUGCCAUGCAACUUCCAUCAUCAUCAUAUACAUGACUUGAGCAUCAUUGUCAUAUUGCUUUGCAUGAUCGUAAGAUAGCUAGCAUGAUGUUUUCAUGGCUUGUCCGUUUUUUGAUGUCAUUGCUACGCUAGAUCAUUGCAUAUCCCGGUACACCGCCGGAGGCAUUCAUAUAGAGUCAUAUCAUUGUUCUACUAUCGAUUUGUAAUAUUGAGUUGAAAGUAAAUAAAAGUGUGAUGAUCAUCAUUAAUAGAGCAUUGUCCUAAAAAAAGAGGCCAAAGAAGCCUAAAUAAAAAAAGGGGGCCAAAGAAGCCCAUCAAAAAAAAAGAAAAAGAAAAGGGGGCAAUGUUACUAUCCUUUUACCACACUUGUGCUUCAAAGUAGCACCAUAUUCUUCAUAUAGAGAGUCUCUUGAGUUAU
This 75143-nucleotide long non-coding RNA is filed under the name Triticum aestivum (bread wheat). RNAcentral's name for it is "long non-coding RNA (TAES_LNC001665)". The record is from RNAcentral. Lineage: Eukaryota; Viridiplantae; Streptophyta; Magnoliopsida; Poales; Poaceae.